GAGGGGGAGGUUGGCGCAUGCGCAUAAGGCUGACGGGUUUUGAAAUGGCUUCGGUGUUAGCCGGGACCCGACUCAGGUGAAGGUCUGGUCAGCGCUUCAUUGGAGCGCGAUGGGCGGCCGCCCGGGGUUCUUAACAUCUGUCCUAUAGCGGAAGGGCCGGGAGGCUUCGUUUUGGUGGCACGGAGGCCCCAGGCCGGCGACCGUGGGGCUCUUGUGGGGCUGGGGCGGGAGGGACGCGGUCCCUUUUGUGCCGGUCCGACCAGGCCCUGUGCUGCCCGCCCCUCCCCCACCGCCUCGCUCUUUCCGGGUCGCCCCUCAGGUGUACGCAGCGCUACUCAGCCUUGGUCCGACCGGCUGCAGUCCGCCGUCCCCCUCUCCGGAGCUGCUGCGGCUUUAGCCUCGAAGCCCGGGGCGGGGGUGGGGGGCUCCCCGUGGCGUGGGUUUGGGGAUAGAGGCUUUCUCCGUCGUGCGCCGGACUUAAGGAGGCCUGAACUCUUUGAGUGUCCCCGUGUUGGCGCUUAACCCAGUGUUGUGGGGCGGUGGGUUCCGCCUUCCGCCGUCUGCGGCCCGCGAGGAGCUGGGGCCGGAGGAAGAUGGCAGAGCCCUGGCCCGUCAGAAUCGCCGCGCCCGGGCGAUGUGCGGGCGGAGAUGAUCGCAUUUUCUGACUUGUCUUUGGCGGGAGUGGGGUCUUCGCAUUGGUUCUUUGAGGGGCAUCCGUUAGCUCAACUGCCUUUCCACACGAGGGAGAGGAAGUCGAGGGCAAAGGAGGUCCUAGUUAAUUCCAUACCAGAGAAAUUAGAGAUGUUCGUUAUUUUGAUGAUAAGUACCUUUGUUCGGGGUCUCGUCCAAUUUUCCGUUAUUGAUUUCACCAUCACUUUGGCCCCAGUCUCCAACUCCAUCGCCCAAAGAAACACGAAGGCUAGAUAUCCUGUGAAUAUGGAGUUGUGAAGUUCUUGUUAAUAAUCUGGUGGAUAGAGCAGAUUGUCUUCUGUUUAAAUGUGACGGUUUAUAGUCACAGAAAGAAGUGCCCUUUAAGUCUGUCCCUAAAAUAAGGGUACUUUGGUGAUCCAGUUGAUGUAAAAUGUUUUUGCUGCAUUUAAAGUGUUGUUCAUUUGCCCUUUUCCUACCUGCAGUUAUAAUUUCUACUUAGGAAGAUGUCCUUGAUACUUUAAACAUUUCUUUUAAAUAAUUGUGAUAUUUGUAGUUUGGUUGAACUUUGAAACGUGGAUCCUUUCUUAAUAGAUCGCUGCUAUAGAAGAAAAACAAGUGAAGGUUUUUUUACCCCUUGCAUCAUGGCUCAGUUUGGAGGACAGAAGAAUCCGCCAUGGGCUACUCAGUUUACAGCCACUGCGGUAUCACAGCCAGGUCAGACUGCUGAACACAUGUACUUUAAAUGAGUGUGUGGGUGUUGGGGGGGAAUCCUGUUUUAGCCGAGUUAGGUUAUGCAUGUUAUGGUAAAGUGUUUGCAAGUGAUGUGUCGUUUAUUUGUGAAGACUUUUAAAAAUUUAUAGAUCAACUAGGGAAAAAAGUGAUUUGCAUUUUGGACAGUUUUAUAGGUUUUGUUUUGCAGUGCUGUGGAUCAGUUCUUCCCCCUGCCCCCCCCCCCCCCCCNNNNNNNNNNNNNNNNNNNNNNNNNNNNNNNNNNNNNNNNNNNNNNNNNNNNNNNNNNNNNNNNNNNNNNNNNNNNNNNNNNNNNNNNNNNNNNNNNNNNNNNNNNNNNNNNNNNNNNNNNNNNNNNNNNNNNNNNNNNNNNNNNNNNNNNNNNNNNNNNNNNNNNNNNNNNNNNNNNNNNNNNNNNNNNNNNNNNNNNNNNNNNNNNNNNNNNNNNNNNNNNNNNNNNNNNNNNNNNNNNNNNNNNNNNNNNNNNNNNNNNNNNNNNNNNNNNNNNNNNNNNNNNNNNNNNNNNNNNNNNNNNNNNNNNNNNNNNNNNNNNNNNNNNNNNNNNNNNNNNNNNNNNNNNNNNNNNNNNNNNNNNNNNNNNNNNNNNNNNNNNNNNNNNNNNNNNNNNNNNNNNNNNNNNNNNNNNNNNNNNNNNNNNNNNNNNNNNNNNNNNNNNNNNNNNNNNNNNNNNNNNNNNNNNNNNNNNNNNNNNNNNNNNNNNNNNNNNNNNNNNNNNNNNNNNNNNNNNNNNNNNNNNNNNNNNNNNNNNNNNNNNNNNNNNNNNNNNNNNNNNNNNNNNNNNNNNNNNNNNNNNNNNNNNNNNNNNNNNNNNNNNNNNNNNNNNNNNNNNNNNNNNNNNNNNNNNNNNNNNNNNNNNNNNNNNNNNNNNNNNNNNNNNNNNNNNNNNNNNNNNNNNNNNNNNNNNNNNNNNNNNNNNNNNNNNNNNNNNNNNNNNNNNNNNNNNNNNNNNNNNNNNNNNNNNNNNNNNNNNNNNNNNNNNNNNNNNNNNNNNNNNNNNNNNNNNNNNNNNNNNNNNNNNNNNNNNNNNNNNNNNNNNNNNNNNNNNNNNNNNNNNNNNNNNNNNNNNNNNNNNNNNNNNNNNNNNNNNNNNNNNNNNNNNNNNNNNNNNNNNNNNNNNNNNNNNNNNNNNNNNNNNNNNNNNNNNNNNNNNNNNNNNNNNNNNNNNNNNNNNNNNNNNNNNNNNNNNNNNNNNNNNNNNNNNNNNNNNNNNNNNNNNNNNNNNNNNNNNNNNNNNNNNNNNNNNNNNNNNNNNNNNNNNNNNNNNNNNNNNNNNNNNNNNNNNNNNNNNNNNNNNNNNNNNNNNNNNNNNNNNNNNNNNNNNNNNNNNNNNNNNNNNNNNNNNNNNNNNNNNNNNNNNNNNNNNNNNNNNNNNNNNNNNNNNNNNNNNNNNNNNNNNNNNNNNNNNNNNNNNNNNNNNNNNNNNNNNNNNNNNNNNNNNNNNNNNNNNNNNNNNNNNNNNNNNNNNNNNNNNNNNNNNNNNNNNNNNNNNNNNNNNNNNNNNNNNNNNNNNNNNNNNNNNNNNNNNNNNNNNNNNNNNNNNNNNNNNNNNNNNNNNNNNNNNNNNNNNNNNNNNNNNNNNNNNNNNNNNNNNNNNNNNNNNNNNNNNNNNNNNNNNNNNNNNNNNNNNNNNNNNNNNNNNNNNNNNNNNNNNNNNNNNNNNNNNNNNNNNNNNNNNNNNUUCCCACUUUCCAUGCACUUCUCAUCUUUCUCUCACUAAUGACUUCUGUCAUGUGUCUGAAAGGAUCUAGCCAAUCCUUAAAAAACAAAUGCCAAAUGUCUUCUUUGGUAUAAAGAGAGCAACUAAGAACAGAACAGGGAGGAAGAGCAUGAGGAAAAGAUUAACAUUAAACAAAGAGGAGUGGGGGGAGAGAAAGGGAGAGAGAAGGGAAAGCAUAUGGAAAUGGUAGGAGACCCUCAAUGUUACACAAAAUUACAUAUAAGAGGUUGUGAGGGGAAAGGGGGGGGAACAAGGGAGAGAAUUGAACAACAGCAGAUGAGGUAGAGAGUGAAGAUGGGAGGGGAGGGGAGGGUGGAUAGUAGGGGAUAGGAAAAGUAGCAGAAUACAACAGUCACUAAUAUGCCAUUAUGUAAAAAUGUGAGUGUGUAACCGAUGUGAUUCUGCAAUUUGUAUUUGGGGUAACCCUAUUGAGUCAAAUGUAUGAAAGAUGAUAUAUCAUGAGCUUUGUAAUGUUUUGAACAACCAAUAAAAAAAAAAAAAGAAAAAGAAAUACAAGCCAAGUAGUUGACAUACUCUUAAACCUAGCUAGGCCAUUGAGCAACUUAGCAAGACCCUGUCUCAUUAAAAUGAAAAGACUGCAGCUAUGACUCAGGGGUGGAGUGGUACCUAGCAGGCCUUGGCUUCAAUCCCUAGUAUUGAAAAUAAAAGAAAAAGACAUGGCUUAGGGUUGGUGAGGUAGUUCAGAGCAGCCAUAUGCCAGCUAUAUCAGUAUCUGAGUCCAGUGUCAAAUUGGUGACCAUGCAAAUCAUACAAAAAAGAAUUGUUCAACUUUUUCUUUUGUGGUAUUUAGUAUUGAACCAGUAGCCCUCACAAAUGCUUGACAAGUGCUUUUCCACUGAGCUACAUCCCCAACUCUUUUUUUUUUUUUUUUUUUUUGAUAUAGGCAUUGAACCCAGGGGCGCUUAGCCAGCCCUUUUUUAUUUAGGGACAGGGUCUGGCUAAGUUGCUUAGGGCCUUGAUAAAUUGCUCAUGCUGUCUUUGAAUUUGGGUCCUUUUGUCUCAGCCUCCUGGAGUGCUGGGAUGACAUUCUUAGGCCACCACACUCAGCCCCAACUCUUUUUUUGUUUUGUUUUGUUUUGAAACGGUCUCCUAAAGUUGCUAAGGCCUUCCAAUUUUCCGUCCUCCUGUAUAGCUAGGUUUACUGUCAUGGGCUACCAGGCCUGGUUUUAGCAUUUAAUUUUUUUUUUCAAUAUUUAUUUUUUACUUAGUUGGACACAAUACCUUUAUUUUACGCAUUUUUAUGUGGUGUGAAAUAUUGAACCCAGGGCCUCGCACAUACUAGGUGAGUGCGCUACCACUGAGCCACUACCUCAGCCCAGAAUUUUAUUUUAUGAGACGGUUAAUUUGCAUUUGUACUGUUGUUUAAAAAGUGGCUGAAAAUUUUAAUGCAUUUACACAUAAUGCAUUUAUACAGAUGAGACAUGUAAAUAAUGUUAAAAAUGUUAGUGAAAGUCUGCAUGUCAGCAGUUUAUUGCUGAAAGUGCAAAAUUGAAGCUUUGAAUUGUUGCUGUUUAGCUUUAAUACUGAGCCUAUUGAGUUCAGGAGUCAGUAAUUCCUGGGUGUUAUCAUAUGUCAUCUUUAAUUUUCUUUUCUUUUAACCCCCAUCUCAAAGAUAUCAAACGUUUUUUGUAGUUCUGGGGAUUAACCCAUUGAAUCCAAGGGCUAUCUACCACUGAGCUACAUCCUCAGGCCCUUAUUAGUUUUUGAGACAGGAUAUUGCAGGGUUGUACAGGUUGGCUUCAAGCUGUUGAUCCUCAGCCUCCUAAGUCCCUGGGAUUAUAGGCAUGUACAGCCUGGUCUGCCUGACUUUUCCCCUUUUUAAAAAUGUCUUGAAUUAUUCCUCCAUCCUACAUUUAGGACCAAUUCAGUAUUUGGAUAAUUUGAUCGGUAUUAGAUUUCUUCCGUUUACUGCUCUUAAUUUAAAGUUUCCAUUCCAAAGUCUCUUACCUAACUUUUUCAGGUCCUUUUAGUCCUUCCCUAAAUCUUUAUAUCCUACUCUUCAGUCAGUGUUUAACAUCGAUUCUUUAGUCACAAAGCUCUUUUUCUGUCUUGAGGAAAUAGUCUUUAUUGUCCUCUAUUUAUUUUUAUUUUAUUUUUUUAGAGAGAGAGAGAGAGAAUUUUUAAUAUUUAUUUUUUAGUUUUCGGCAGACACAACAUCUUUGUAUGUGGUGCUGAGGAUGGAACCCGGGCCACACGCAUGCCAGGCAAGCGCGCUACCGCUUGAGCCACAUCCCCAGCCCCCUCUAUUUAUUUUUUAAUAUUAUAGUUGUAGUUGACACAAUACCUUUAAUUAAUUAAUUUAUUUUUAUGUAGUGUUGAGGCUCGAACCUGGUGCCUCGCAAGUGCUAGGUGAGUGCUCUACUGCUGAACCACAACUCCAGCCUCUAUUGCCUUCUAUUUACUUAUAUUUAGUUCGAACUCCUUUUUUUUUUGUGCUGGGUACUGAAUCCAGGGAUGCUCUACCUCUGAGCUACAUCCCCAGCCUUUUAAAUUUAUUUUUUAUUUUGAGGCAGUUUCUCACUAAAUUGCUCAGGCUGGCCUUGAAUUUGUGAUCCGCCUGCCUUAGCCUCCUAGGUAGCUGGGAUUACUGGCAUGCCUGACUACUUUUAUUUGAUUACUCUCUUACUAUAAAUACUACUUCUUAUAUCUCCUAAAUAACCAUCGUUUCCUAAAGGAUAAUUUCUAUCAAAAUUACUGAUUUUAAAAAAUUAUUUUUAUGGUUCAUUAUUUCUCCCAUUACUCCAUUCUCUCGUUCAUCUACAAAAAUUUCUUUAGAAUAUAGUUCAAACUCCUUGGGAUACUAUUCGAAGUGUUCUGUCUUUCCAGCUUAAUCUCUCAUUUCUUCCGCAGUUGACAUAGUGUUUGUUUCUUAAUAUUUAUCUGAUUUUCCUUAUCCUGCCUGAAGUGCUGUCACAUUAUUUUCAGUGGUAGCAAUACUAGAGAACAGAACUUCAACUUCAUUCGUGUGUGUGUGUGUGUGUGUGUGUUGUGCUGGAAAUCAAACCUUGCCUUGUACGUGCUAGGCAAGUACUCUGCCGCUGAGUUACAUUCUAGCACUGAGACCAGAGCUUUAAGAUUUGAAAGUUGGGGUUUUUUUUUUAGAUUUUUUUUUUUUAGUUGUUGAUAGACCUUUAUUUUAUUUAUUUAAAUGCAGUGCUGAGAAUCAAACUCAGUGCCUCACACGUGCCAGGCAAGUGCACUACCACUGAACCACAACCCCAGCCCCUGAGAGUUGUUUUUUUAAUACUUUUUUUAAAAUUUAUUUUUAUAGGUUAUAAGGAUCAAACCCAGUGCCUCAAAUGUGCUAGGCAAGCACUCUACCAUUGAGCUACAAUCCCAGCCCAAGAUUUAAAAGUUUUCUGUUGUGCAAAUAAUUACAGGUAUAAUAUGUAUACUUCACUAGUAUCCCUUGAUAGAAUUGGAUAUUUCUAACCUAUAACAAUUGGUAGAAAAGAAAAUUACCACAAAGUAUGAUAGCUAGCACAUGCAGUAAUCCCAGCUUUUUGGGAUGCUGAGUCAAGAAGAUCACAAAUUCAGACCAUCUGGAACAACAUAGUGAGACCCUGUCUCAAAAUAAAAACACAAAUGGCUGGGAAUAUAGCCCAGUGGUAAAGUGUCCCUGGGUUCAAUUCCUGGUACCACUAAAUGGAUAACAAGAGAUUGCUGCUUAUAUGAAUGGACUUACCCUGUGUAAAAACUGCUAAUUCUAGGUAAUACCAAAUUGUCUCUGAAACAUUUUUCUAGGAGUGAAAAAGUACACAUAAAAACAAUUAGUGCUGGGCUGUGGUUGUAGCUCAGUGGUAGCGCGCUUACCUGGCACAUGUGAGGCAUUGGGUUCAAUCCUUAGCACCACAUUAAAUAAAUAAAUAAAAAUAAAGCGAAGGUAUUGUGUUCAUCUACAACUUAAAAAAAAAAAAAGCUAUUAGUGCUCAUUGCUAAUAAAUAUUUUUUCCUUCAUCCUCUGAAUGUUCUCAUUCAGUGAGAACUGAAAGAGUAGACUGAUCUGUUUAUUUGUUUUGUACUGGGGAUUGAACCCAGCUACACUCCCAGCCAUUUUUAUUUUUUAAAUUUUGAGAUGGGGUCUUGCUGAGUUGGUGGAUUCACUUAGUUGCUGAGGUUGUAUUCAAACUUGUAAUCCAUUUGCCGCAGCCUUGCAAGUUGCUUGAAUUAUAGGGGUGUGCCACCCCACCCAAUUCUUAUUUGUGAAGUUGAGGCUUUUCUUAUACUGUAUGUUUUAUAAUCUGGGAUAUUUUUGAUCUAUUUUAAUGACAUAUAUUAGAAAUUAUAGUGAAAAUUUAAAUAUGAACUUUGGCUGAGAGCAUAGCUCAAUGGUAGAGUGCCUACCUUGCAUUAAUAAUGUUGUGGGUUCAAUCCCCAGUACUAUACAAAAAAUAUUUUUAAAUAAGUAAAUAAAAUUUAGAAAUAAACAAAUGGCCCCAGGACUGCAUAAAAAAAUUAAAUAGCAAUGGUUUGUAUUCAUUUACAACUAAAAACAUUAAAAAUAAAUAAAUAAAAUGUUCAAUUUGGAUGUUAUCAAACUCUGGAGCAGACCACCUUAGACUUGUCCUGAGUUUUCAAGUCUUUGAAACACUGUCAGAUGCUCAUUUUGAAAUUAUUAAAAUAUUUUGCUACCCCUUUUUUGGCGGGGUCCUGGGGAUUGAAUUCGGGUCACUCAACACUGAGCCACAUCCCCAGCCCAGUUUUGUGUUGUAUUAGAGACAGGGUCUCACUGAGUUGCUUAGUGCCUCAUCAUUGCUGAAGCUGACUUUGAAUUCGCCAUCCUCCUGUCUCAGCCUCCCCAAACCGCUGGGGUUACAGGUAUGUACCACCGUGUUCAGCUAUGUUUUGCUACUUUUUUUUUUAAUAUUUAUUUUUUAGUUGUAAUUGGACACAAUAUCUUUAUUUUAUUUAUUUUUUGUGGUGCUGAGGAUCAGACCCAGGGCCUCACACAUGCUAGGUGAGUGCUCUGCCGCUGAGCCACAAUCCCAGCCCCUGUUUUUCUACUUUUGUGCUGGUUUAAAUUCUGGUAUUGUGGGCUGGGCAUGUGGCUCAAGCAGUAGCACGCUCGCCUGGCAUGCGUGCGGCCCGGGUUCGAUCCUCAGCACCACAUACAAACAAAGAUGUUGUGUCUGCCGAAAACUAAAAAAUAAAUAUUAAAAUUCUCUCUUUAAAAAAAUAAAUAAAUAAAUUUUGGUGUUGUGACUUUAGGCAGUUUUUUUUUUUUAGCUUUUCUGAGGUUUUUUUCAUCUGUAAUUUGGGUAUAAUUACUUCUCACAGGGUGAUUUUUGAAAACCAAAUGAGCCAGGCAUGAUCGUGCCCCUAUAAUUCCAUCAAAUCUGGACAUUGAGGCAGAAGGAUUGCAAGUUCAAAGCUAGCCUCAGCAAAUUAGCAAGGCCCUAAGACACUGUCUCAAACAAUAAAUUAAGCUGGGCACAGUGGUGCAUGCUGAAGAGGCUGAGGCCAGAGGAUCAUGAGUUCAAAGCCAGUGUCAGCAAAGGCAAGGCACUAAAGGACUCAAUGAGACCCUGUCUCUAAACAAAAAAUAAAAUAUGGCUGGGGAUGUGGCUUAGAGGUUGAGUGUUCCUGAGUUCAAUCCCUGGUACCAAAAUAUAUAAAUAAAUAAAAUUUUAAAAAAGGACUUGGAGUGUGGGUCAGUAAACACUCCUGGAUUUAAUACCCAGUACCAAAAUAAUAAUAACAGUAAUAACAACAACAACAAAAAUAACAAAAAAUAGUAACAACAAGAACAAUAAUAAUGAUUUUCAAAAACCAGUAACAGACCAGGCAUGUUGAUGCGUGCCUGUAAUCCCAGUGAUUUAGGAAGCUAAGGUAGACAAAUUUGAAACCAGCCUUAGUAAGUUUAAACCCCCUCCCCCUUACUGUAAAGAAAUAAAGGUCUGGGGUUGUGGUUCUGUGGUAGAGAGCUUGCCUGGCAGGUAUGAGGUACUGGGUUGAUUCUCAGCACUAAAUAGCCUAGCCUUGUGCAUGCUAGGCAAGUGUUCUAUGACUGAGAUGUGAAAUAAGGGUCCAUUGACAACUAAAAAUAUAUUAGAAAAAUAAAUCAAUAAAAUAAACCUCUGAAAUGAAGGAGUGAGAAACAGUGAAUGCGAUAGGUAAUUAAAGAAGAAAGACACACUUGAAUGGUACCUGAUAGAAUUCACCAACAAAUAAUUCAGUGGUGCGUAGAGGAGACUAUUGCCUGGAGCACUAGCCAUCACUUCCAAGGAUUUCAAGGGAGUGGGAGAGCUGUUGUCUGCUGGGAUAUUAGAUAAUUCCAUUUAUUUUAAUUUCUUUUAAUAUUUGAGAUUGGGUCUUGCAGUGUUGUUCAACCUGGUCUUGAACUCAUGGGCUUAAGUUAACCUUCCACCUCAGCUUCCUGUGUGGCUGGAACUAUAGGCAUAUUCCACCACACCCAGUUUUGGAUAUUAUCUUAAUGGUUACUCUCAGAACCCUCACAUAACACUGAUUUAGUUAGGGUUUUUGCAUUUUACUUACAGUACAGCACUGUUCAAUAAAUAGAAUAUUCUGUGAAGAUGAAUGUGUUCUAUGUCUGCAUUGUCUGAUAGUAGUACUUACUAGGGCUGGGGCUGUAGCUCAGUGGCAGAAGCUUGCCUAGCAUGUGUGAGGCACUGGGUUGGAUCCUUAGCACUGCAUAAAAAUAAAUGAAGGUAUACUGUCCAUACACAACUACCAAAAAAAAAAAGUAUUCACUAACCAUGAGGCUUUUGAACACUUGAAAUGUGAUUAGCAUGACUGAGGAACUGAAUUUCUUUAUUUUUUUGUACUGAGAAUUGAACCCAGGGGUACUCUACCACUGAGCUACAUUUCCAGUCCUUUUGUUAAUUUUCUGAGACAAUUUUUUAUUUUGUUCAGUUGAUAAGGCUGGCCUCCUGCUUCAGCCUCCCAUAUUGUUCGGAUUACAGGCAUGAAUCACUGCAUCUGAACUGAAUUUCUAGUUUCACCUAAUUUUCAUUAAAUUGAAUAGCCACACGCAGGGUAUGGUGGCACUUGCCUAUAUAAUUCCAAACUUAGGAGGCUGAGGCAGGAGGAUUGCAAAUUCAAAACCAGUCUGAGCAAAUUAGCAAGCCCUAAGCAACUUAGUGAGACCCUGUCUCAAAAUAAAAAAUUUAAAAAAUGGGUUAGGGUUGUGGCUUAGUGGUAAAGUGCCCCUUGGUUCAAUUUGUGGUACCAAAAUUAAAAAACAACCAAUUAAUGAAUAGAAUGACCACAUGUGGCUUGUUGCUAGUAUUUUGGACAACGCAGUUACAGAAGGUUAUAGCACUUGGGAUUUAUUAUUAUUAUUAUUAUUAUUUUUAAAGAGAGAGGAAGAGAGAGAGAAUUUUAAUAUUUAUUUUUUAGUUUUUGGCGGACACAACAUCUUUGUAUGUGGUGCUGAGGAUCGAACCCGGGCCUCACACAUGUCAGGCGAGCACACUACUGCUUGAGCCACAACCCCAGCCUGGGAUUUAUUAUUUUUAAAAUAUGAUUUUUGUGGCAUAAUUUCUUAUUCUCAAAUUAAUGAUAAUGAGUAUUUCCUAUCAUUGAGUUCUAUUUAAGGGCAUAGCCUAAUAUCUCAAAAGCUGCAAUAGUGAAUUGACCAGUGAGCUAUUUGAUUGUGAUAAAGUUAUCUGUGUACAGAUCACCAAAAGUUUUUUGGUUUUGUUUUUGGUAGUGUGUAUUGGAUCCAUGGACACUUUUACCACUGAGCUACAUGCUCAGUCCUUUUUUGUUUUUAAUUGUUUGAGAAAUGGUUUUGUUAAAUUGUGAAGGUCUUGCUAAGCUGCUGAAGCUGGCCUGAAGCAAUCCUUGUGCCUCAGCCUCCCUAGUGGCUGGGAUUAUAGGUUUGCAGCACCACGCCCAGUUGUUUGUUUAUUUUUUGAGACAAGGUCUCACCAAGUUCCUGAGUCUGGCCUCAAACUUGUGAUUCAUUAGCCUCAGCUUCUUGAGUAGUAGGGAUUAUAGGCGUUUAACACCUUGACCAACUAGUUCUUUCUUUUUGUUUUGUUUUUGCAGUAUUGGCAACCUAACCCAGAGCCUUGCAUAUGUUAGGAAAGCAGUGUACCACCGAGCUACAUCUCCAGACCUAGAAAGUGACUUACUUAUGUAGGCGAAUUCCCAAUAUCAUUAUGUAGUUUUCUCUCCAAAUAACAUGAGGCAGCUUUUUUUUGUUGUUGUUGUUGUUGUUGUUUGUAAGGUAUUGGGGAUUGAACCCAGGGGUACUUAACCACAGGGCUAUAGAUCCAGCCUAUUUUAUUUUUUUUAAUACAGGGUCUCACUAAGUUGCUUAGGGCUUCACUGAGUUGCUGAGGUUGGCUUCAAAUUUUCAGUCCUUCUGCCUCAGCCUCCUGAGUCAUUGGGAUUACAGGCGUGCGCUACUGUGCCUAGCUGAGGCUGCCUUUUAAAUUUUAAAUUGCAUGUAUUUAUCAAGAUUGCUUUUUUUAAUUAAUUAUUUUUUUAAUUCUAAUUAGUUAUAAAGACUGCUUUUUUGCUAUGUAUAUAUGUAUAUACAUAAGUGGAAAUACAAAGGAUAAGACAUUACUUGGUAUAUUGGUGUGGGAAUGUAAGUAGCUUUUUUUUUUUUCUUGGUAGUAAGAAUUGAAUCUAGGGAUGUUGUACCUCUGAGCUACAUAUCCAGCCCUUUUUUAUUUUGAGAUAGGGUCUUGCUAAGUUGUUUAUUAGGGCCUUGCUAAAUUGCUGCAACUGGCCUGGAACUUGUGAUUCUCCUGUCUCAGCCUCCCAAGUCUUUGGGACAGGUGGGCAUACCACCACACCUGGCUCAAAUAGUUCUUUUUAAAUUAAAAUACAUAUAUGUGUGUGAGUGUGUGUAUAUGUGUAUAUGGAGAGAGAUAUAGAUACAGCUUUUGUGAUGUUGGGAAUCAAACCCAGGGCCUUGCUUAUGCUAAGUAAGUACUCUACCUCUGAGCUGCAUCCUCAGUCUAAAACAGUAAAUUCUAUAUUAGUAAAAUAAGAUAAUUUCUUCUUUUCUUUCUUUUUUCUUUUUUUGGUCAUGCUGGGUAUCUAACCUAAGACCUCUAACCCAGAGCCUAGUGCUUCCUAGGCAGGUGCUCUACCACUGAGCUAUACUCUCAGCCCAGAUAAUUACUUUUUACAUUUCUUCCUAAAAAUACUUCCGGAGGAUAUGGUAGUCACUUUGUCUAGAUAAGUUUGUGUGGUUUUAUUCUGAUGUUUAAUUUUAUAGACUAAUGUUUUCUUAUAUUUACCAUGGCAUGAACAUUAAAUAUAAAGCCUUUGGGAUCUAGAGGGACAUGAAUCAGUUAAAUUUAACAAACAUUACUAAAAUUGUUCUUUUAGUUUUUUAAAUUAGACUGUAAUGCUCAAUUAAGCAUUCUUGGAAAAUUCAUAGAAGGGAUCCAAUAAUCUUAAUUUUCCACCACCCUUUUAAUCUCAUUUUAGCUGCACUAGGAGUUCAGCAGCCUUCACUUCUUGGAGCGUCUCCUACCAUUUAUACACAGCAAACUGCAUUGGCAGCAGCAGGCCUUACCACACAAACGCCAGCAAACUAUCAGAUAACACAAACUGCAGCAUUGCAGCAACAAGCCGCGGCUGCAGCAGCUGCAUUGCAACAGGUGAAUUUCUAAUAGGUUUUAAUAUGGAAUAUUGAAGACUGUGAUAUCUGAGUAGCUAGGAUUGCUAUCUCCAUUUUUUAAAAAAAUGAAGAAUUGUGGCUCUUGUUAUGAUUUUUUUUUCUGACAAUCAAUAUUAUACUGUAUAUGCCUAACAUGUAUAGGGGGAAGUAUAGUCAUAUAGUGAAAAUUCUUUAGUUUUUAAAUUGGACAUUUCUCAUACCUCAAUUAUUUGAAAAAACUUCAGCCUUUGAUGGAUUCCAGAGUAUAAGUAAUAAUAAUUUUAUGUAUUUUAGAUGUUUAUUCUAGAAAAUUUCAGGGUAAUUUUGGUUGUGUAUUUCUGUGUACAUAUAUAUCGCUUUUUUGAGAAUAAUAUGUUGAUAGCCAUAUUUUUCUUUGAAUAAUCUUUUUUUUUUUUAAUUUUUCAGCAAUAUUCACAACCUCAACAGGCCUUGUAUAGUGUGCAGCAACAGGUUAGUUUUUAUUUUCCAUGUUAAGAACUGAUUUUAAAAAAGCCAUGUGUUCCAAAAUUAAAUUGACACAGAUUUGUAUUUAUAUUUCUUUUAGCUAUCAUAAUAUAUGACUUGAAUUCUUUGGUGGGAGUAGGGGAUAUGGAGUAGGAAAAAAGAGAAGAUCCUAAAAACCCAAAUCUUCAACUAGUAGCCAGUCUUCUGAGACAGUAUGUUGAGGAUAAUCUGGAAUGAACCACUCUGAUUCUUUGGACUAUGCUCCUGUCUGGACUCGAACCUCUGUGCUACUCUGCUGAAUUAGAUCACUUGGGAAAAGUAAAAGCUCUUUUUCCUACUUGAAGCCUAAUCCUUUCGUGGGUCACUAGCUUUCAACCUUUAUUUUUUAGGUAGUAGAAUUUAUUGAGUUUUUGUUUCCUUCCCUCUAAUGAAAUGAUGAAUGAAACCCAAGAUACAAAAUAUUUAAAUAAAACUGUUGAAAAUGGGAGGAAGCCUCCCCUUAUAGUUCAUACCCUAUUCCUGGGCAUUUUCGAACAGUAUGAAAAUUCUUAACUUAGACUUAAAACAUGUUUCUUUGGCCCCUUAAACUCAUCCUCUAAUCAUUUCUCUUAAGGUCUUACCUCUGGGAGCUAGGAAGUGGUAAGAAAAUACACGAUUAUUAAGGAAGGAAAGUUUGCCCUGCUGAAAUCUAGAUAAGUUUUAGACUAAGUACCCAUUCUCAUCUUGUCCAUAGCGCGGAGGUAGUGUUCAGUCCUUAUGAGUAUUAUUGUUAAAAACGUUUUAGGAACAGGGGUGUAGCUCAGUGGUAGAGCAUUUGUGUAGCUUGGGGUUCAUUCCCUAGCACUGCCUCCCACUCAAAGGAAAAAAAAAUUUUCCAGGACAUACAGCUCUCAGAAGAAGAAAAUGGUAUACAAAAGAGGAUCCAAAAAUUGGAUCCAAGGACAAUAUUGAACCAGGUGUGGUGUUGUAUACCUGUAAUCCCAGCUACUUGGGAAGCUUAAGCCAGAGGAUCACAAGUUUGAGGCCAGUCUCAACAAUAUAGUGAAGUCCUAUCUCAAAAUAUAAAGGAUUGGGCUGGGUGUGGUGGCACACACCCGUAAUGCCAGUGGCUCAGGAGGUUGAGGCAGGAGGAUUGCAAGUUCAAAGCCAGCCUCAGAAACUUAGUGAGGCACUUUACAACUCAGCAAGACCCUGUCUCUAAAUAACUCAGUGGUUGAGCAUCCCUGGGUUCAAUCCUCAGUACCAAAAAUAAAUAAAUAAUAAAGGGCUAGGGGUGUUGCUCAGUGGUAGAACACUUGAAUUGCAUGGGUGAGAUCCUGGAGUUUAAUCCACAGUACUGCCAAAAAAAAAGAAAAAAAAACACAGUGUGUAGGAAUAUUAGGACUUCUCAGUCCAUAAGCUCUUGUCACCAGAUCCAUAGUCUAUUUUCAUCUUUGGCUUAAGCCCUUUGGGCCUUCAAAAGCAUUUCAUUUUCACUGAAGAUUACGGUAUUUCGCUAGUACUUUAAACUUCUGAAAAUGGACAAGAGACUAAUCUCACAAUUACCUUGUUUUUAAAUUCUCUGAGAGGGGCGUUGGGGGGUAUGUGGCUCUGUGGGUGGUAGAGCACUUUCCUAGAGUGCACUGAGGCCCAGAGUUCAAUCCCGGCACCACAUAGAAAACUUGUCAUAAAUUAAAAAUACCCGUAGACUUAUAUUUAUUAAGUUAUGAAACACUAUUAAAGAUUUUAUGAGCUGGGUGUGGUGGCACCUGCCUGUAAUCCCAGCAGCUCAGGAGGCUGAGGCAGGAGGAUCACGAUUUCAAAGCCAGCCUGUGAGGUGCUAAGCAACUCAGUGAGACCCUGUCUCUAAAUAAAAUACAAAAAAGGGCUGGGGAUGUGGCUCAGUGGUUGAGUGCGACUGAGUUCAAUCCCUGGUCCUACCCCCACAAGAAAAAAAAAAUUAUAACAAGGUACGUUGAACCACAUAAAGAUGGCGGUACUCAGCUACUCUUACAGAAAAAAAAAUAGUAUUUUAAUAAGGUUGAAACUCUUAAUAAUUGGUUAUUGCAGGUAAUCUGAGUAUUUUGAAUUAGAACCUCAUAUAGGUUCUAUUAUCCUCACAUAUAUUGUUUUUAUUCCAGAAUUUAUAAGUUUUCCUCCUCGCUUCAGUUCCUUUUCCUUUCUGGUAAUGGUGUAUUUUUCUAUUAUCAGAGAAACCUUAUGUCAGAGUGUAUGGUUCUUCAUGGUAUGCAUGUCUAUGGCAAAUCCAACCAUUAGGAGUGCUUCUCAUAUUGCAGGAUAUUUAUAUAUGAAUUGGAUGGCCAAUUUUAUUCUUUGGUACAAUUACUAAAUUGGUGAUAUUGAAUCAUUUCUGUAGCAUCGUAAUUAGCAUAUUGUGGAACUAGAAAUCUUUAGGGAAUUGUGGACUUUUUAGAAUAAUUUUUAUGGUGUUAUUUCUAUGAAAUAACAACAGAAAUCAUUUUCUUUAUUAAAUAUAGCUGUAUGUGUGACUUCUUAGUACUAGGUGUGCAGUUAGAAAUAGUUGUAGGUAGACUUAUGCUAAUUAUGUGUUACCUUUCACAUUUUUUAAAAAAUAAUAUUUAAAAGUAAUUUUUCCAUUUAUAAAACAUCUAUGAAACAAAAAUUGAUCGUUCCUUUUCUUUUGUAUGUUUUUUUGUUUUGUUUUUUGUUUUUUUCCUAUUUUCAGUUACAGCAACCCCAGCAGACCCUUUUAACACAGGUUAGUUUGGCAUUACUUUAUUUCUUUUGAUUAUCUGAAUAAAGAGUAGACUAAUGUUUUAUUUCUAUUCUAGUUUUUAUUUCAGAGUUUAAAGGUAUUUGUUGUAUUCACAUAAUAAUUUAGCAGUAUAUUGCUAAAUAAAGGUGAAAAUUUGUUAUUGUGUUUUGAUUGCAAGCCCAGCUAUUGUAUAGCUUGAAUAAAUAAGAAUUUUUAUUUUAAGUUUAAUACUGAUUUUUUGCUUUUAUAUUUUCUUUAUAGCUAAAGUUUUGGAAAUUUUUGGAUGUUUCAUUUUUAACUUGACCUUAGUAGGUAAAGUCAUCAUGUUAUCAGUUUGAUUUUUGAGCAACAUUAAAAUGUUUUGGAACUUUUGGGCCUGAUGGUAUAGUUCUGGUAGAGUGCAUGUUUUAGCAUGUGUGAGGCCCUGGAUUUAAUUCAUACCUAGCUCAAAAAAUAAAAAUAAAGUUUUGAAUUUUUAAUAUGUACUGCUACCUUAGGGCUUGUUACAAACCACUUAGUUUCUGUCAUAAUUUUUUUUUCUUACAACCCUUUAAAAGGUGUUAAAAACAUUCCUUGCUUAUUAACUAAGGCAUUGGGCUUUAUUUGGCCAAUGGACCAUGGUUCACUGGUAUUUUUGUACAGUAAAUAUUAAGCAGUUGUUAAAAAUGAAACAGAAUCCCCAUGUUGGGGAUUGAACCCAGGGCCUUGUACAUGCUGUGUAUCCCCUCUUACCACUGAGUUCCACACUCAUCCCUAGAACUUAAUGUAAAAUUAUAUCUCAGAUAUGGGAGGUAGAGGAAAAAGUAUGGUGCAAUAUGCAUUGUAUGUUUCCAUUUACUUAGGAGGGAAGUGGAGGAUAUCAUUUAUCAGUGUGUGCAUUAUCUCCAAAAGGCCCUUGAUAGUAAAAGGUGAUGUGAUUGCUUUAUGCAUAAGAAACUGGGUGGCUGAGGAACAAGGAUAGGAGAGAAGCUUUUCACUGUGUAACUUCUUGUAUCUUUUUAGUCUUUUUUAAAAGUAAAGGAUUAAAAGUAUUUUUUAAAAGAAAAAUGCACUACAUUUAAGAAAUCAAUUAUACUGUUCUUAUUAAAGAACUAAAAUCCAGUAAUACCGAUCUUACUUUCAAUUCCCAACAUGAGAAUUUCAAAAUUAAAUAGAAUAGCUGUAGAAGUUUCUUUCCUUACCAUAACAUCUCCCAGUGUGUGCCCAUAAAGUAUAACUAUCUUAAGAUGUUAAAGAAAUUUUUUGAAGGUUUUUUCCCCCCCACUAUUGGGGAUUGAACCUGGGGGUACUCUGCUAGUGAGCUAUUUUUAUUUCUGAGGAUUGAGCGCCUGAGUGCUUUACCCCUGACUUAAAUUCCCCAGACCUUUUGUUAUUUAUUUAUUUAUUUUUAAACAUCAAAUUGUAUACUUUAUUUUUAUGUGGUGCAGAGGAUCAAACCCAGUGCCUCACACAUGCCAGGCUAGUGCUCUGCUACUGAGCUAUAAUACCAGUCCCUUUUAUUUUUAUUUUGAGACAGGGUCUCACUAAGUUGCUUUUGGCUUCCCUGGGUUGCUGAGGUUGGCUUGAACUUGUGAUCUUCCUGCCUUAAGCUCUCAAAUUGCUGGGAUUAUAGGCAUGCACCACCAUACCUUCCUUUUUAUUUUGAAACAGGGAUUUGAUAGACUGUCCACAAUAGUUGUGAACUUGUGAUCUUCCUGCCUCAACUUCCCGAAUACUGGUGCACCACCAGACAUAGUGUUUUUUUGUUGUUGUUGUUGUUUUUUGAAGUGGUGUCUUUGCCAUGUUGCCCAGUUUCAUAUAAAACUUAUGGAUACAAGUAUUCCUCCUGCCUCAGUCUCCAAGUAGCUUGGACUACAGGAAGAAAUUUAUUUAUUUUUGGUACUGGUGAUUAAACCCAGGCACAUAACCAUUGAGCCACAUUCCAAGCCCUUUUUGUUUUUUAUUUUGAGACAGGGUCUCACUAAGUUGCUGAGGCUGGGCUCAAACUUGCCUAAGUUGAUGAAAUACUGAGUUCUUUGACUAUAUUUUGGAGUUUCCUAAACCUUUAGUGUGCUGAUAAGGAUUUUGAUUUUUUUGUUUGUUUUUUGGAGGCGGGGUGCUGGAAUUGAAUCCAGGGGUACUUCACUACUAAGCUACAUUUUCAGUUUUUUUAUUUUGAAAAAUGCUCUAAGUUGCUGAGGCUGGCUUCUUAACUUGUGAUCCUCCUGCCUCAGCAUCCCAAAUAGUAAGGAUUAUACAGGCAUCUGACAUUACACCCAGCUUUUUUGUUUGUUUUUUUGGUGGUGGUACUGGUGCUUGAACUCAGGUUCUUGCAUAGACUAGGCAAGUUCUCUUGCACUGAGCUACAUCCCCAGUCUUUUCUGGACUUUGAAUUUCUAAGAGGGAGUUAAAAUAGUAUUUUUACAACUCAUUGAACGAUGAUUCUUUUGCCUUGGAGCAACCCUGAAAAUACUCAUUUGAGGAAAGUUAUGGAUGAAAUAAGUUAAAUAAUUUUAUAGAUUUUCAGACUUAGUUCUCUCAAGGUGUACAUACAUAUAUUUUAUAACUUCAUAUAAUUUUUAACAUUUUGGGCUAAAAUUGUCAUUUUUAAUUUCCAGGUAAUUUCAAGUCAUUAUCUUAAUAUGAUGUUGAUUUUCUUCAAUAGCCGGCUGUUGCGCUGCCUACAAGCCUUAGCCUGUCUACUCCUCAGCCUGCAGCACAGAUAACUGUAUCUUAUCCAACACCACGGUCCAGUCAGCAACAAACCCAACCUCAGAAACAACGUGUUUUCACAGGAGUGGUUACAAAGCUACACGAUACAUUUGGAUUUGUGGAUGAAGAUGUAUUCUUUCAGCUUAGGUAAACUUCAUUAGGUGUUGAGAUGACUUAUUGAAUUCUGUAUAAAGUACUUGUGAUAAAGAUAAGCUAAAAUUUUCUGUUUUAAUCAUUCAGUUUGUAUUAUGGUCCUAUCUGUGAUGUGUUUGGGUGGAAAAAUGUGGUUAAGUAUAUGUUUUGAUUAUUGAACAUCAACUAAUUGUGAAUUCUUUUUUUUUUUUUUAGUUGUAGAUGGACACAAUACCUCUAUUUAUUUAUUUAUUUUUUAAUGUGGUACUGGGGAUCAAACCCAGUGCCUCACACAUGCUAGGCAUGCUCUGUACCACUGAGCCACAACCCCGGCUCUAAUUGUGAAUUCUUUAUAAAUAUUUUCUUAGAACUAGGUGGCAUUUCUAACUCUUCAUGGGCAGACUUUGAGAUUGGGGGUUGAUUAAUUAUGACUUUUAAAUCCUAAUAUUCUGGUUUGACAUAUCUGAUGAUAUAGACUAAGAAUUUUUUUUUUUAAUUGAAAAGUUAGUGAACAGGAUCAAAUGGUUGAUGGACAAACAUUCACAAUAGUACUUUGGUUCCUUUAUGGUAGUUGUAGGCAAUAUGAAUUUUCUUAGAUAUAUCAAGAAUAUUUCUAAUGAACUUCCUUAGAAUGGUCACAUUUGGGACUCAGUUGCUGUAGAAGAUUUUUGUAUAAAAGGGAUUCCCAUUUUUUUGUCGUCUUUCCAAAACCUGAAGCAAAUUUUACCUUUGGGCUCUAAAAGUUAGUGCCAUAAGCAGAAGGACAUAACUUAGGAGAUUAUGAGGUGGUAAAUUAUUUCUUGCACUUCAAAACUUCUGUUUAUAUAUAGAGGGUGAAACGUUCAGUUCUGAAAUGAGUCUACAGAUAUAUCUACUUUUGUAAGAGCUCUCCAGUCUUCCAUUUCUGGUAUAGUGUGUUUAUUUAUUUAUUUAUUUAUUUAUUUUUAGUUAUAGAUGGACAAAAUACCUUCUUUUAUAUUUAUGUGGUGCUGAGGAUCAAACCUGGUGCCUCAAUUGUGCUAGGCAAAUGCUCUACCACUGAGCUACAACCCAGCCAUAUAGUGUAUUUUGUGUGUGUGAGAGAGUGUGUGUGUGUGUGUUUGUCUGUGUGUGGCUGGGGAUUGAACCCAGGGCCUUUUGCAUGUGAGGCAAGCACUCUACCAACUGAGCUAUAUCCCCAGCCCCUUAAAGUGUAGUUUUAAAUGCUAAGUGUGUAAAUUUGAGGGUGGGGCGAUGUCUUUUUUUUUCCCCCCAAAUAUUUUUUAGCUGUUGAUGUACCUUUAUAUUAUUUAUUUGUAUGUGGUGUUGAGAAUCUAACCCAGCGCCUCACACAUAUAAGGCAAGCACACUGCCACUGAGCCACGACCCCAGCCCCUUGGGGGGCGAUCUCUUAAUUGUGUUUAUUUUUUUUCCCCCAGUGCCGUCAAAGGGAAAACUCCACAAGUGGGUGAUAGAGUAUUGGUUGAAGCUACUUAUAAUCCUAAUAUGCCUUUUAAAUGGAAUGCACAAAGAAUUCAAACACUACCAAAUCAGGUACAUAAAAUAUUGAACUAAUUAUCAUGGAAAUUUGGUAAUUGAGUCUUCCAUUUGACAAAAAACAUUUUAUCUCUUUUGUUUUUAUUAAGAAUCAGUCCCAAACCCAACCUUUACUGAAGACUCCUCCUGCUGUACUUCAGCCAAUUGCACCACAGACGGCAUUUGGUGUUCAGGCUCAGCCCCAGCCUCAGUCACUACUGCAGGCACAGAUUUCUGCCGCUUCUAUUACACCACUACUGCAGACUCAGCCACAGCCUUUAUUACAGCAGCCACAGCAAAAAGGUAUUGCGUGCAUGUAUUCUUGUUUUUAAUUUCAGACUAAUGUGUGUUAUGAUUUAUUUGUUCAAAUAUAAAGAACAUGCUUUUAAUUAUAAAAUAGGCAGGGACAUCCAGGAGGUUGAAAAAGAAGGAUCUUUUGAGCAAGUGAGUAUAUGACCAGACUGAGCAAUAUAGUGAGACCCUAUCUCAAAAUGUCUGACAGGGACUUUGAGGAAACUUGAAAGGAAGCAUAAAUAUCCUGAACAAAACAUCCUGUAAUUCUCUACUUAUAUGGAAGUAGUUUUGUUUUAUUUCUUGUAGUGAUAACAAAUUCAGUGAAUAGGAAAUUCAAAGAUAUGUUUCUUGUGUACUUAAAUAUCAGAACUGUUAUCCCUUGUGCCCCCUUUUGGUAUCACAUACCAACAAUAUUUUAUUUAUACAUGUGAAUCUUUUCUUUUUAAUUAAUUAAUUUUUAUUCAUUUUAUUGAUUUAUUUUGGUACCAGGUAUCGAACCCAGGGGUGCUUAACAACUGAGACACAUUAUCAGCUCUCCCCCCCAAUACAUGGAGUAUAACUUAUUCUAAUUAGGAUUUUAUUCUUGUGGUUGUACAUGAUGUGGAGUUACCCUUGUCUGGUAGGAAAGGAAAGUUAUGUCUGAAUAAUUCUAUUGUUUUUUUCUUUUCCCUCUCCCCUCCCUUCCCUUCAUUCCCCUUUGUUUAAUCCAAUGAACGUCUAUUCUUCCCCUCCUAUCCUUGCUUGUGGAUUAACAUACACAUAUCAGAAAAUUUAGCCUUUGGUUUUUUGGGACUGGCUUAUUUCACUUAGCACUGAUAUUUUCCAGUUCCAUUCAUUUACUAGCAAAUGCCAUGAUUUCAUUCUUUAUGUCUGAAUAAUAUUUCAUUGUGUAUAUAUACCACAUUUUCUUUAUUCAUUCAUCUGUUAAAGGACACUUAGGUUAGUUCCAUGGUUUAGUUAUUGUGAGUUGAGCUGCUAUAAAACAUUGAUGUGGCUGCAUCAUCUAGUAUGCUGAUUUUUACGUUCUUUGGGUAUAAAUCAGGGAGUGGGAUAACUGGAUUAAAUGGUGGUUCCAUUUCAUGUUUUCUGAGGAAUCUCCAUACUGCUUUCCAUAAUGGUUGCACCAAUUUGAAAUCCUCCUGUACAUGUGAACUGGUGUUAGUAAUUCUGUUAUGUUAUUGGGGAUCAAACCCAGGGGUGCUCUACAACUGAGCUACAUGCCCCAGCCCUUUUUAUUUUAUUUUUGGUAGUGGGGAUUGAACCUAGGAACACUCUUCCACUGAGCUACAUUCCUAGCACCCCUCUUUUUUUAAUAUUUUUUUAAAAUAAGGGAAUGUUUUUAUACCUUGUUUUUAUUUAUUUGUUUUUAUGUGGUGCUAAGAAUUGAACCCAGUGCUUCACACAUUCUAGGCAAGCACUCUACCACUGAGCUACAACCUCAGCCCCUUUCCAGCCCUUUUUAUUUUUUGAGACAGUGUCUCACUAAGUUGCUUAGUGCCCUCACUAAAUUGCUGAGGCUAAAAGCCUUGAACUUAACUAUUCUGCCUCAGCCUUCCAAGUUUCUGGGAUAGUAGGUGUAAUGGUGGCUACAUCCAACCCUUGUUUAUUUUUUGAGACAGAGUCUUGCUAAGUUGUUCAGGUAAGUUGUUUGGGUUUGCCUCUAACUGUUUCAGCUUCACGACUUGCUGUAUAUACAAUUGUGUGCCACUGUGCCUGGGAUUAUACAGUGUUUAAAAUGGCAGUUAGCCUGCUGCAUGCCGUGAUACAUACGUGGAACCCCAGCAAUUUGGGAUGCUGAGGCAGUAGGAUAAAGGUUGGAGGCCAGGGGCUGGGGUUUUGGCUUAGUGGUGGAGUGCUCGCCUAGCAUGUGCAGGGUCUUGGGUUCGAUCCUCCGUACCACAUUAAGAUAGAGGUAUUGUGUCCAACUACAACUAAAAAAUAAAUAUUAAAAAAAAAAAAAAAAGUUGGAAGCCAACCUGGACCUGUUUCAAAACAAAAAAUAGAAAAGAUCUGGUUAUGUAACUCAGUGGUAGAGUAUCCCUAGGUUCAAUCAUUUUUAUUUAUUCAUUUUUUAAUAAUUUUAGUUGUAAAUGGACAUAAUAACUUUAUUUUUUUAUUUUUAUAGAUAUAAUUUGGCAUUUUCUCUUUCAUUGUAUGUUAUUAUACUAGAGCAAAGUGAUAAAACGUAUAACUCCAUGGUAUAGCUAUAGCAAAAUGAUAAAACCAGGUUACAGCAUAAUGGAUUAUUAAUUUUAAAUGAACACCUGAUUGUUCACUACUCAGGUCAAAAAAUACACAUUGCAUGCUGGGGAUAUAGCUCAAUUGGUAGAGUGCUUGCCUAACAGGCGUGAGGCCUUGGGUUCAAUCCCCAGCACUACCACCACCAACAACAAAAAACACAUUGCUAAUACUUGUGUAUAGUGCUAGGGAUCAAACCCAGUGCUGUGUUUCAUAACUGGCAAGCACUCUACCAGUGAACUACAUCCCUCAACACCCAUCUGCCUCCUUUUUUCUCAAAAUAUAUAUCCUGAAUACAAUUUACUUUGUCUGCUUUUGAACUUAAUAUGAGAUUCCACUUAUAUUCUAGCUUGUGUAAGGUUUUUUACACCAUUAUGUUAAAGUUUUUCCUUCUAUUUAUUUCAUGUGGGUAUAGUUUGUUCAUUUUCAUUGUGCAUUUCCAUUGUAUGAAUAUUGUACAAUUAUCUGUUCUCCUUUAGUAAUCAUUUGGUUAUUUCUUGUUUUGGUUUCUGUAAACAUUCUCGUGUGUUCACAGACAAUGUGUGUGACUUUUUCUAGGGUAUGUAUCUUUGAAUGGAAUUGUUGGGUGUGAGGAGUACAUAUAUCUUCUUAGAUAAUACCAAACUCUGUCCAAACUACUUGUUUCCUCCAAGUAUCUGACAGUUCUCUGAUCUCUGAUUUUUUUUCCUCAUAGUUUUCUUAAAAUAUCUUAUUUUACAAUUGUGAAUUGGGAUUUGAGUACCUAUUUGUUUGUUUUGAUACUAGGUUUUCAAACCUGGAUCUCACAUACUUAGCACUCUACCGCUGAGCUACAGUCCUUGCCCUAAGACAGGACCAGUUCUACAACAAAAUGUAUAAAUUAUGAUAACUGUGAAUGAACAAUUUUAUUCCCAAUUGUUAGACUAAUUUCAUCUAAUCUCAUAAUACUUUUGUACUUUCUUUAAAUGUGUUAGUUUAAUUUUAUUUUUUUCUGUAUUUUUUUUUUGAAGCUGGCUUAUUGCAGCCCCCUGUUCGUAUAGUUUCACAACCACAACCAGCACGAAGAUUAGAUCCACCAUCUAGAUUUUCAGGAAGGAAUGACAGAGGAGAUCAAGUGCCUAAUAGGAAAGAAGACCGAAGGUAUGUUUUAAGAAUAUAAUAUAGAUGGUGGUGGUGAUUAUUCAAAAUGUGAAUGCAUUUAAUGCCACUGAACUGUGCAGAUAAAACUGGUUAAUGUGAUAAACUUCGUGUCACAUACAUAUAACAUUUUUGGGGGGGUGGGUACCGGGGAUUGAACCCAGGGGUGCUUAAUCACUGAACCACAUCCAAAGCCCUUUUAUUUUUUGCUUUGAGACAGGGUCUUAAGGCCUUGAUAAAUUGCCCAGCAACAUAACAUUUAAAAAAUACAUUUUUGAAGAGUUAAAAAUGUGUUGUUUUUAUAACCUAUUACAUUAUUUCUUUAAAAAACUGCCAUUAUGCCAAAAAUAUUAGUAAUAAUUUUAUAUAAAUUUACUUUAAGUCGUGAAAGGGAAAGAGAAAGACGUAGAUCCAGAGAAAGAUCACCUCAAAGGAAACGUUCCAGGGAGAGGUCUCCCAGAAGAGAGAGAGAAAGAUCGCCUCGGAGAGUUCGGCGUGUUGUUCCACGUUACACAGUGCAGUUUUCAAAGUUUUCUUUAGAUUGGUAAGUUCUUUUUUUCUCUUUCAGUUAUUAACUUUGUAAUUUUGUAUAGAUUAGUGUGGAAUGUGUUAUAAUCAGGAUAUUUUACCUGAGAAAAUCAUGUGCUGACAUUUAGUGCUCUUAUAAGGAUAGAAAUGCAAUUUGAAGUAGUCAUUUAUUUCUCUGCUAAAGUGUAUUAUUUAUAGUACUCAUAACUUUAAAGUUAUCAACUAUUCAAAAAGAAAACCUCUAAAGGAAAUUCUGUUGUGAUGAAAUCAUUGCUUAACAUUAGAGUUAUUUAAGAUCCACAUUUAUUGAUGAAGAUCCACAUUAUAUGUGAUGAAGCAAUAACAAGUAAACCAAUUGUUUCAAGCUUACUUGUGAUAAUAUAGUAUAAAGUAUGAAUUGGAUCUGCGUAUGUUCUGAGACCUAUAUAAUAUACAUGUGUUUGUGUCCAUAAAUAAAUUAUUGAGCUUUUGGAAUCAGAGGUUGAGGCAAGUUACCAAGAAUUUCUCAGUUUUAGCUAUAAAAUCCAUUAGCUUGCAGAAUUAUUGUUUGGUUCAGUAUCUAGAGCACCCAGAGUGUGGCAAUUUUAGAUUUUCCUUAAUUGAUAAUAGUAGUGAGUUAUGAUGGCAACUAGGGUUACUAGAUUUAACAGAUGGAAAAAGCAAAUGGACAGUAAAAUAAGAAAAUCUUUAAAAGCAGUGUCAGAACUGUUUGGCAUAGGUGCAAAUAAUGUGUGUACUUGAAUGACCUGAGAAGAUAUAAUUUUUAAUAUUUAUUAUGUUGGCCUGUCAAAAGUUGAAAUUUCUGCAUAUUCAAUUCUAGAUCUGAUAAACAGUGUGAUUUAGUGUACUGAAUACCAAGAAAUUCUUAACUGGUGACUUUGCUUGUUUAUAUUACUUCAUUGUUUAUUUACUCUUAACUUUGGCCAGAUUAGCAAGUACUCUUAAUUUAUACUAGUUUUGUUAUUAUCCUUUUUUACUAUUAGGCUUAAAAAAAUCUGUUGGUACCAAAACUACUUCAUUCCCCAAGGUACUAAAUAGAGGAGCUCUAAUUUUUAUGCAUCUUUCCCAGUAUUAAACACUAUAUAGGAAGAGUUGGUCAGAUACAUAAUUGAGGCGGGCGCCAUGGCUCACACCCAUAAAUCCUAGCAGGUUGGGAGGCUGAGGCAGGAGAAUUGUGAGUUCAAAGCCAGCCUCAGCAACUUAGUGAGGCCCUGUCUAUAAAUAAAAUAUAAAAAAGGGCUGGGGAUGCGCCCUGCUAUCAAAAUAAAUAAGGAUAUGAAAUAGAACAGCUCCUACUAAGAUCACUUUCACAGUUUCACUUUUACUGCUAACAAUAUCAAUCAAACCCAUUACAAAUAAACAUCAUUUUAAAGUUUCCAUGUCUCCUUAAUCUGUAGUUCUGGAAAUCAAAUUUUUUAUACUAAUAUAAUUAUGAGCACUUAUUUGCAAUUAAUGCUUUAUGUGGACUUAUGUCUGUUUUAUCAUAGAUUUUAUUCCUAUGGGGUAAAACUUCUAAAAUUCUGGUACUGAGAAACUAUUACAUAUACUUUGUUCCUUAAAAAUAAAACUCAAAUAUAUUUUGCACACUUUUGAUACAAUCUUUAUUUAUUUUUUAGUUUUAGGUCGAUACAAUAUCUUUAUUUUAUUUUUAUGUGGUACUGAGGAUCGAACCCAGUUCUUCAUGCAUGCUAGGCAAAGUACUCUACCUCUGAGCCACAACCCCAACCCCUUGACAGAAGCUUAACCAGAUAAAGUAUAAUUAUAUCAGCAGCCACAAUAGAAAAUUAUCACAAAGUAAAAUAAAAAUAAAAUAAAAUAUUAUUUUAUUUUGUGAUGCUGGGAUUAAACCAGGGCUUUGUAUAUGCUAGGCAAUUAGUCUGUUUCUAAGCUAUAUACCCAAUGUAUCUCUAUUUUUUGUUUUUAGGUGUCUGAUAAAGACAUCUCUACAUAGAGAUUAGUUGUUUUUUUUUUUUUUCUCCUUCCUUUCUUCCUGUACUAGGGAUUGAACCCAGGGGCACUUUACCUGUGAAGUAUAUCCCCUGACCUUUUUAUUUUUAUUUUGAGAUGGGGGUCUCGUUAAGUUGCAGAAUCUGUCCUUGAACUGCCCAUCUUCCUGUCGCAGUCUCUUAAGUUGCUGGCUUACAUAUGUGCUCCAACAUGUCCAGCAGAAUUCAUGUAUGUGUUUCAUUUUUUGUGUGUCUGUGUGUGUGGUAAUGGGGGUUGAACCCAAUGGUACUCUAGUGAGCUACAUCUCCAAAUCACCAGCCAUUUUUUUUGUUUUGUUUUGAGACGGUCUCACAAAAGUGCACUCUUUCUGUCAUAGCCUGGUGAGUUUCUAGAAUUGGACCACCUCACCUGCUCAUUAUGCUUUUUUUUGUUUUUGUUUUUUUUUAGUUGGGCACAAUACCUUUAUUUUAUUUAUUUUUAUGUGCUGCUAAACCUAGUACCUCACAUAUUCUUGGCAAGUGCUGUACCCCUGAGAUAUAACUCUGACCCUCAAUUAUGCUUUUUAAAAAUUUUUUUUUAUAGUUGUAGAUGAAUACAACAUCUUUAUUUACCUUUAUGUGGUGCUGAGGAUAGAACCCAGGGUCUCACACAUGCUAAGCAAGUACUCUACCACUGAGCUACAAUCCCAGCCCAUCAGUUAUGCCCUUUUGUUCAAUUGUUUAUCUUUGAGUUUCUCGCCUUUAAAAUCUGGUUUUUAGGGGCUGGGGAUGUGGCUCAAGCGGUAGCGCACUCACCUGGUAUGUAUGCGGCCCGGGUUCGAUCCUCAGCACCACAUGCACCGCCAAAAACUUAAAAAAAAAAAAAUUGCUUUUUGGGGAAAAGGAAACUAAUUUUUUAAAAAAUUUUUAUUAGUUAUUGAUGGACCUUUAUUUAUUUUUUGUUUAUAUGUGGUGCUGAUAAUCGAACCCAGUGCCUCACACAUGCUAGGCAAGCACUCUACCACUGAGCCACAACCCCAGCCUCAGGAAACUAAUCUUUAAAAUAUCAGUGCCAGAUUUAAAAGGCAAGAGUUCUAUUUCCGUUUUACAUAAUAAUAAUAAUUAGGUAUUGAUUUACUUAAAUUCUUAUAGAGAAGUAUAGAGGUGUAGAUAAUAUAAAGAACACUUUAUAUAUAUUUUUUUCAUUUAUAUAUUUUUUUUCAUUUGUAUUUUAGUAUUUGAUUUUUAAUUUAAGUGUAAUGAUCUACAAGCUUAAUCUAGAAUAGAACUUGAAUUUUUUCUUUGCUGAAUAAGUCUGAUUAAGGGGUAUUUGAGUACUAAUUUGGUAUUACUCUUGUCCCUUCUUUGUAUGUAUUUUGUGGGAAUUAUGAUUUUUCUCAAGUAAUAUACAUUUUAAACUAAGUCAAAACUACUUUUGUUUCAGUCUUCUCUAGAGCUGUGGGUUUUCUUUAUUUCAAAGUGUCUUCUCUAAUGAAUUAUAAGCUACAUACAAAAAGUAGAGAAAUAAAGGUAACACUUAGAUACUGAUAAUUCAAAACUGCAACUAUAUACAAAUUUGUAAAAUAAAAUUUUCACAUGUCUCCAUCUGAAUUUGUACUUCAUUUAAUUGACUAUUUUCAACUUGCUUUUUACUCUGUAAGGUUAUUUAGCUUCAGAAUUAUGUGAAUGUAUAAUCUUUGGUGUAAGGCUGCUUAUUCACUACUUAUGUCUGUUUUUCAGUCCUAGUUGUGACAUGAUGGAACUAAGGCGCCGUUAUCAGAAUUUAUAUAUACCUAGUGACUUUUUUGAUGCUCAGUUUACAUGGGUGGAUGCUUUCCCUUUGUCAAGACCAUUUCAGCUUGGAAAUUACUGCAAUUUCUAUGUUAUGCACAGAGAAGUAGAGUCAUUAGAAAAAAAUAUGGCCAUUCUUGAUCCUCCAGAUGCUGACCAUUUAUACAGUGCAAAGGUUUGUAUUUGUGAUUUACAGCUUAAUUUCUUCGUAGUUGUUCAAAAAUAAGAGGAUAUGUGGAACCAUUCUUUUUUUGGGAGGGGAUAUGGGGGAUUGAACUCAGGGGCACUUGACCACUGAACCACAUCCCCUUAAGUAAUUUAACCUCUUUGUGCAUCACUUAUUAUGCAAUAAAAUAAUGGUUGUUUUAACAUUUUAAUCCUUAUAAAAAUGUGAAGAUGAAGUUGAAAGUUGAAUGUUAUGACUUUUUUGUUUGUUUGUUUUUUUAAUAUUUAUUUUUUAGUUUUCGGCAGACACAACAUCUUUAUUUGUAUGUGGUGCUGAGGAUUGAACCCAGGCCGCACGCAUGCCAGGCGAGCGCGCUACCACUUGAGCCACAUCCCCAGCCCUGUUUGUUUGUUUUUGUACUGGGGAUUUAACCCAGGGACACUUUACCACUGAGCUAUAUCCCCAACCCGUUUUAUUUUUUAUGACUUUUGGCCCCAGAUAAAAUUUAAUAUUGGUUGAAUGUACUGAAUUUUUGUCUUUAGGAUAACAUUCAGAAUAUGGCUUAUCAGAGUUAGUUUUCUUCUGGUUUAAAACAUUGUUUGAUCUAAAAAGCAUCCCUUAAAUCUCGAGUGGUGGCAGGCAGACAUUCAUAGUCAGGUAAUACAGUUUGUUGAGUCAAGUUGGCAGUUGUGAAGGACUCAAUUUGGUUUGUUAAGAGAUGCCCCAAGCUGGGAGUGGUGGCUCACGCCUGUUAUUCCAGCAGCUCAGGAGACUAGGCAGGAGGAUCUCAAGUUCAAAGCCAGCUUCAGCAAUUUAGCAAGGUCCUAUCUCUAAUGAAAUAUAAAAAGGGGUUGGGGAUGUGGUUCAGUGGUUAAGUGCCCCUAGGUUCAAUUCCUGGUACCAAAAAAAAAAAAAAAAGCUCAAACCUGAUAGAAAAGAAUUCCAGAAUAUUUCUAUAUGACAAUAGCAAUAGAUUUUGCUAUAAUGGGAUUUAGAAUGUCUUUGGAUGCUGUUAAAGUUCUUUUGAAAUUAACCUACCAUCCCUAUUAAUAACAUCAUUGUGGGUGGCUUAAUACUUUUUGUCGAAGGGUUUGAGAACCUCAUGAAGUAAAAUUUUGUUCCCUUUUCUUCCAAAAUAUUUUCUAUUUGUAAAUUAAAAUAAUUUCAGAAAUUUAAAAAAAUCUUCCCUUGAUAAGUUAAAACUUUAUAAGGUAUUUAAUAUUUUAACUUAUUUCUGUAACAUUUUGCAUUCAUUUUUAUGAGAAAUUUCAAAUAACUAAAAUGUGAGUUUAAGUAGUAGUGCUUCUCAUUUUUUUUUACAUUACAUUAGACUUUUGACAGGAUUGAAUUAUUUGACUAUAAUAGGUAAUGCUGAUGGCUAGUCCUAGUAUGGAAGAUUUGUAUCAUAAGUCUUGUGCUCUUGCUGAAGACCCACAAGAACUUCGAGAUGGAUUUCAACAUCCUGCUAGACUUGUUAAGGUAAAAUAAACUAUUUGUUUUAUCUUUAGGUGUAUAUUCAUUUACCUUAGUGCUUACUGUGUAUAUGUGAAAUUUAAAAACAGCAUAUUUUUAAUCUUGUUACUAAAUGAUUUUAGUAUUAUUAAGGUACUCACAAUUUAAUAAUACAGAUGUCUUUCUCACUGCAGAUUGUGGCUAUACUUUAUUUGUGUAUAACGACUUCAACUGUCAUUGAUUUGUUGUAUUUGUAGCAUAUUAAAAUCUUAGUGAUAAUGGGAUUUAGAAUGUCUUUGGAUGCGUUAAAGUUUGCAUUAUAGCUUGUUUCUUUAAAAGAAUGGUAACUGAAGAAAUAUUAUAGAAGGAUGAGUUAUGAUGUGUAAAUCCUAUUCCAUUGCUGAAAUGCAGUGUGGAACACGAUGAACUGAACUCUUCCUUGACUGACAGAUAUCUGAGGUAGUAAAAAUGAUAUUGGAAAGGUUUGUACCUUUCCUUUUCAAGUAUUUAUUUGUAAUUUCACAAGUUAUAUAAUGUAUGUAAGUGAUUCUUUGUUUUGAAUUAGUUUUUAGUGGGCAUGAAAGGCAAGGAUGAAGCCAUGGCCAUUGGUGGGCACUGGUCUCCUUCGUUGGAUGGACCAGACCCUGAAAAAGAUCCCUCCGUGUUGAUUAAGACUGCUAUUCGUUGUUGUAAGGCUCUGACAGGCAUUGAUCUAAGUGUUUGCACACAAUGGUAAGUAUCAAUUCAUUUCUUGAUUAGAAAUAUUUAAUAGAUUUGUAGAUGUUCUUAUCGAUCAGCCUUUUCCCCUUAUUUUAGCAACACUUGUCAUGCAGGUAAUCUCAAAGGAAAAAUCCCCAUUUGUAGCAAAAGUUUAUUUGGUGCCAAAAAUGUUUUUUGGAAAAAGGAUUAAGAACUAAUCAAAAUAUACUGAAAAUUUAAAUGUUUUGUUAUGCUGUACUUUGGAAGUUUGGUUGUAUGUUGAAAAUACUUUUCAUUUCAUGUAUAGCUGGAGAAGAUCGUCAAGAGAGAACUUCAUUUCAUUAUAAUUCUUUUGUUAUUAAAUGAUGUAGUUGCUGAUUAUUUUUGUUCAGCCAUAUUUUCUCUUGAGGCUUAUUUGUCCUAUGUAUUUUAGUAUAUUUCUUGUGACUUAAUUGAGAAUAUUCUUUUUUAGCACAUGAAAUCUGAACAGCUAUCCAGCUUCUUCAGGUAUUAUCUAAAAUAUGGGUAGCUUUGUAAUCAAACUUGAAAAUGUGUUGUGGGAACUUAUUCUUUUAUUCAAUAAAAUAUUGUACAAAUGUACCAAAAGAGGAACUAUGGCUUCUAUAAUUUUUUUUUCUUUAGACCAACCUCAAGUUCUUGCAGCAAAAUUUCUUUACUUGAUGUGCUACAAGUGAACUAGGGUCUUUAAAAUGUAUUUUAGAAUUUUUUUUCCAACAUGCUUCUUCCCUUGCAACAGGUACCGUUUUGCAGAGAUUCGCUACCAUCGCCCUGAGGAGACCCACAAGGGGCGUACAGUUCCAGCUCAUGUGGAGACAGUGGUUUUAUUUUUCCCGGAUGUUUGGCAUUGCCUUCCCACCCGCUCAGAGUGGGAAACCCUCUCCCGAGGAUACAAGCAGCAGCUGGUCGAGAAGCUUCAGGGUGAACGCAAGGAGGCUGAUGGAGAACAGGCACUGAACGCUAAUCCCUUUUUCUAUUUCCGCUUCUCACAGGCACAGGAACACAGGCACAAAUGCACACCACACACUACAUAACAAACACACAUGGAGGAACAUAAGUGGUAACAGCGACUGGUAAUCCAGCUUUCAGCAGUAUAGUUGAAUGUUCUUUUCUCUUAAAAAUUCUGUCUAUUAUGCUAACGUUGAGAGUGUUGAGACCUCAAAGGAAAAUAAGUUGUGCUUAAAUUGCACAGAAUUUUGUUUCUAUCAUAGAUCUAGUUGCUGGAAUCUGGGACCAGUUGUUGAGCAAGAUUAAGUAUUAAGCCAUUUUAAACAUUUUGCCAUUUUCUAAAAUUUAAAAGAUUUUCUCUUUCAUGGUCAUCAGUUCUAGUCAUGGAUAUUUGAAAUUGGACAACCACAAGUCUGAGAGAUUUGAAAUUUCAGGCUAUGUGGCAACGUCUUUGGUACAUUUCAAAGGUCUGACUAAAUCAGUCUUUGGGUGGCUUGAAAAUUGGGGCAAGAUCACACACUGUGUGGUUAGUGGAGACCGGCAGUGUUUGUGCAUCCCUGAUAUCCUUUGUGUUGUAAUUUAUCACCCUUUUGUGUUUCACAGAUCUGGCUUUGAUUGGCUGAUGAGUGUCUUUGUGAUCAGUUAAAAAUGAUAGAAUGUAUGUACGUGGACUUGCCUAAAUAAUAACUUUAGGAGAAGACAAUCUGAAACAUUUGUGACCUUGCACAGAUCAGCAACAGACUUUUAAAAGUGAAUUAAAUUUAUUUUAAGGUUUCAAAAUAGUAAUUAUGUUCUUAACUUUGUAUAUUAGGAUGAAGAAGAAAAGGAUGAUGGUGAAGCUAAAGAAAUUUCCACUCCUACCCAUUGGUCUAAACUUGAUCCAAAGACAAUGAAGGUAACUUUGAAAAUUAUGGUUUUUAAUUUGAAAUCUCUUUAACAGGAAUACAUAACAUUGGUGAGAAUGAUGGUAGUAUGUUUUUCAAAUAAAAACCAUUCAAAAUGAAGUCUGUCUUGGCACCAUUUGGAAUCCCAGGUUCUUUGGAGGCUGAGGCAAAUUUGAGGCCAGCCCAGGUAAUUUAGCAAGACCCUUCCUCAAAUAAAUAACAAGGGCUGGAGAUUUAGCUCAGUGGGGUAAAGUCCACUUUUUUUUUUUUGGAGUUUGUCCCAGGCCCUUGUGUGCUAUACAACCACUGUACCUCUGAGCUACAUCCCCAGCCCUUUUUAUUUUAUUCUGAGACAGGAUCAUGCUACAUUGUCCAGCCUGGCCUCGAACUUGUGAUCCUCCUGCCUCACCCUGCGCCAUCAGGUCUGGCUGUUCACUGAUUUUAUAUAACUAUAAUAUAUUGCAUUUACCUGUGAAUAUAUACAUACAUGUAUAAAUUAAAAAGUGAUGUUAAAUAUCAGUCUAGCUAGUACCUGUAAAAUGCUUGCAAUUUCAAAGUACCUGUAAUAUCAGGAAUAUUGUUUUCUGGUUCAGUAAUUGACCAAGAAGGCAGAAUUUAUCACUGGGCACAGUGGCACAUGGCCUGUGUAAUCCCUGUGGCUUGGUAGGCUGAGGUAGGAGGAGCACAAAUUCAAAGCCAGCCUAAGCAACUUAGUGAGACCCUGUCUCAAAAUAAAAUAUAAAAAGGGUUAGAGAUGUGGUUCAGUGGUUAAGUACCUCUGGAUUCAAACCCUGGUACCAAAAAAAAAAAAAAAAAGGAGGUGGGAGGCGCCAGAAUUCUUACACUUAUGGGGCUGGAGUUGUGACUCAGUGGUAAAGCACUUGCCUUGCAUGUGUGAAGCACUGGGUUCAAUGUUUAACACCACAUAAAAAGAAAUAAACAAAAUAAAGGUAUUGUAUCCAUCUACAACUAAAAAAUAAAAAUUUAAAAAAGAAUAUUAAAAGAAAUAAUUUCUAAACUUACGUAACUUAAAUUCAGGGGUCAGAAAAGAAACAGGAAAAAGAUGAACUUGUUUUAAAAAUAAAUUUAAGAGUAAAAUGUAGAAUGUAUGCCUCUAAACUGGGAAGGAAAUAAUUUAAUAAUUUCUUUGAAAAUAAGUGGUUAACCUGCGUUAGUUUUUUCUUCUGGGUGUCUCUAGCCCAGUUAUCUUAGUAUUCUUUCUGCUGUUUUGUAUUUCCGAACUAUAGUCUAUGGUCAAGAUAGAGACUGAUCUUUACUUCGCCUUUUACAGUUUGUUUUUAGCAAAUGCCUUCUAGUUGACUUUUGCUCUUAGCACAAAACAAUUUUUCUACUUAGUUAGGAACAAUUUCUUUCUGGAUUUUUGUUGUUUUGUGUUUGUGGGGUUUUGGGGGGUUGGGGGGAGACUGAUUUUUUUUUUUUUUCUUUUAGUACAUAGGAUUGAACCCUGGACUACUCUAUCACCACAUUAUAUCCCCAGCACUAAUUUCAUUUUAUUUUGUUGUUUGGGUUUUUAAGAGUUAUAACACAUCUCACUUAGUGUUGAAUUUGGCCUUGACUUGUGAACCUGUUAUCUCAGCCUCCUAAGUCCUAAGUAGCUGAGGUUACAGGACCUAGCAAGGCUUGAACCUUGACUUUAAACUCAUUGGUUUUUAGUAUGUAGACAUUGUAUGUCAUAAGAAUGUUAUUUGUUGAGAGCCACAGUUUAGUCAGAAUGAUGCCUGGCAUUUUUGCCAGAGGGAAUGGUUGAAAGAUGACCCUGCCCCGGAUUAGGGCAGAUCCUGCUGGGAAUAGGGCAGCUCCAGGAUUAGGGCAGAUCCUCCUGGGAUUAGGGCGGAUCCUGGUGCCUUGGGCACUACUUUGGAGUUCCCAUUGAGUUCUCUUGGGGUUCUCAGAGAAUUGGCGCGCAGAGCAGUGUGUUCCCGGGAAGUGUGUGUAGAGUGCAGGUGAGAGUUCGGGAAUAAAGGUUGCUGUUUGAACCUACAAGGCUGUGUGCCCAGCCAGACUGCGGCAGUUAUUCUUUAAUUGCUUCCAAGUUGUCAUCGUCAAUAUCAGGUUCAUAUAGGGUACUCAAAAGAUUAUGAAAACAUUGACAAUAAGACUAAGACUAUACCCAACACUUUUUAAUUUAAACUUGAUUGUUUUGAUGUUAAGUUCUAUAUUUUAUUUUUAUUUAUUUAUUUUUUUGGUACUGAGAAUUGAACCCAGGGCCACUUUACCACUGAACUACAUUCCAUAGUCCUUUUUAAUUUUUUAUUUUCAAAUAGUCUUGAUAAGUUGUAUAGGGUCUUGCUAAGUUGCCUAGGGGUGCCUUGCCUCGACCUUGGGUUCCUCUUACCUCAUUCUCCCAUGGAGCUAGCAUUAUAGGUGUGUGCCACCACAUCCAGAUUCUGUUUUCUUUUUUGUAGGAUAUAAGUAAUGUAUUUAGUUGGUUGGUUGGCUCAAAUCAAGUUGUAUUUAAAAGUUGCAUUUUAAUCAUUUUCAUUUAACAUCUUUUUUUCUCAUGUAAUUGUUUUUCAAUUUUACAUUAUAUGUGGUUUAUGUAUUAAUACUUCUUAGAUAUUGCUUUUUAUUGAAUGUGCAGAUUCUUUACUUUUUUGAAGUGAAGGACUGUUGUAAGUAAAUCUAACAAGGUAUGCUGGUGCAACUCUGUAAUCCCAGUGACUUGGGAAACUCUGCAGCAGAAGGAUUACAAAUUCUAGUCCAGCCUCUGAAACUAAGUGAGACCCUAUCUCAAAAUAAUGUGAAAAAAGGGCUUACCUAAUACCCAAAAAGGUCCUGUGUUCAAUUCCUAGUAUUUCCAAAAAAAGGUUAAUAAUUAGUAAAUCUGUUUUUCUCCCUGAGUUCAGGAUAUUUCAUACACACACACACACACACACACACACAUAAUUUUAAUAGUUUUAUUUACUUUUGGGGGCGAGUACUAGGGAUUGAACCCAGGCACUCUAGUAACUGAGCUAUAUUCCCAGCCCCUCAUUUAUUUAUCUUUAUGUCAGCUGAGGAUCAAACCCAGUGCCUCACACAUGCUAGGCAGGCCCUGUACCACUGAGCCAUGAUCCCAGCCCCCCAGGAUAUUUCUUUAGGUAAAUUCCCAGAAAUUAGAAUUACUGGGUCAAGGGUUAGGGGGAUACAUCAGUGGCAGACCACCUGCCUAGCAUGUGCAAGGUUUUGGGUUCAACCUCUAGUACCAUUAAAAAAAAAAGAAAAGAAGAAAAAAGGAACAGUAAAAGGACUUUGAAUCAUCUUAAAAUGUUUUGAAUUAUUUUCCAAAAUAUUCUAUACAUAUCACCUGUGUGGUUUUUUUUUUUUUUUGGAUACCCAGAAUUGCACUCAGGAGUACCUAGCCACUGAGCCAUAUCCCCAGUCUUUUUUUUACCGUUUUAUUUAUUUUUUAUUUUUUGGUACUGGGUAUUGAACUCAGGGGGCACUUAACCACUGAUCCACAUGUCCAGCCCUAUUUUGUAUUUUAGUUAGAGAAAGGGUUGCACUGAGUUUGCCUAGCGCCUCAGUUUUUCAGAGACUGGCUUUGAACUCACGAUCCUCCUGCCUCAGGCUCUGGAAUUAAAGGUGUGCACCAUGUUGCCAGGCACCUUUUUAUUUAUUUUGAGACUAAGUUGCUCAGGGCCUUGCUAAAUUGCUAAGUUGGUCAGGGCCUUGCUAAAUUGUUUACUAAGGCUGUCCUUGAACUUGAGAUCCUCUUGCCUCAGCCUCCCAAGAGGAUUAUAGGCAUGCACCAGCACGUCUGUCUUUUUUCAUAAAAUUUUUUUUUUUUAAAUCAGGUAAAAGUAUAUAGUUUGUUUACAUCUCAUUUUCUUUUUCUAUGUUUUUAUGUUGCAUACAUUUAGGUAAAUGAUCUCCGAAAAGAAUUAGAAAGUCGAGCCCUUAGUUCCAAAGGAUUAAAAUCCCAGUUAAUAGCUCGAUUGACAAAACAACUUAAAGUAGAAGAACAAAAAGAAGAACAGAAGGAAUUAGAGAAAUCUGAAAAAGAAGAGGAAGAAGAGGAUGAUAGGAAAUCUGAAGAUGAUAAGGAGGUAUUUAUUCAGCAUUUGAAUAUAGUUGUAUUGGUAUUUCUCUUAGUAUGUUGGGUGUUCGUGGAAUAUAUGACUUCACUUUGUGUGUGUGUGUGUGUAUUGUUUUAUUAAGGUAUGUAAGGUAAAAGUAGAAUUUUUUCCCACAGUUGCUUUACCACUGAGCUAAAUCCCACAAUUCUUUUUAUUUUUAUUUUAUUUUAUUUUUUUAAGUUUCAUUUAAAAUUUUUUUUUUUUUAAGUUAUCUAUGGACUUAAUGCCUUUAUUUGUUUUUAUGUGGUGCUAGGAUCAAACCCAGCGCCUCACACUUGGGAAGCAAUGCUCUACCACUAAGCUUACAACUCCAGCCCCCCUUUUUAUUUUUUGAGACCGGGUUUUUUCACUAAUGAGCUGAAGGUGUCCCUAAGUUGUUGAGGCUGACCUCGAACUUGUACUCCUGCCUCAGGCUUCUAUGUAGCUGGGAUUACAGGCAUGUGCCACUGCACCUAUCUAAAAAUUCAUACCUGUAAUGAAUAGUUCUGCAAUUUUUUAAAAUUAUUCUAAUUAGUUAUACAUGACAGUAGAAUGCAUUUUUUUAAAAAAUAUUUUUUAGUUAUAGUUGGGCAUAGUACCUUUAAUUUUUAUUUGUUUAUUUUUAUGUGAUGCUGAGGAUCGAACCUAGCUCCUCGCAUGUGCUAGGCGAUCGCUCUACCGCUGAGCCACAACCACAGCCCCUAGAAUGCAUUUUGACAUAUGAUACAUAUAUGGAGUAUAACUUCUCAUUCUUGUUGUACAUGGUAUAGAAUCAUACCAAUCAUUUAAUCAUAUGUACAUUCGGUAAUAAUGUCCGAUUCAUUGAACUAUCCUUCCUACUUCUAUACCCUGUCUCCUCUCUUCACUCCCCUCUGCCUAUCCAAAGCUGUUCUUCCCUAACCCCCUGCCCUCAUUGUGAAUUAGUAUCCACUUAUCAGGAAAAAACAAAAACAAAAACAAAAACAUUCAGCUUGAGUUCCAAUGAAAUGCUCAUGCCCUAAUUGUGAUGCUUCUAAAGUAAUAUGUUUGAUUGGAUUCUACUCAAGAAUAGACAAAUUAUUCAAGCUAUUUUGUACCUCAGUUUUAUAUCUAAUACAUUUAUUCCUUAGUGCAUAAGCUUAUUGUGUUCUCUGAAUUUGAGAGCUAGUGUGUUUUAGCCCCAGUAAUUGGAUAAACCCUUAGGGUUUUUAAAUGUGAUGUAUUAUAAAAUACCCAUCCACAAUUCCUAAAGUAGUUCUUCGAGAAGUAUGUGACAUAGAUCAAAUUGUAAGGAAAACAAUUGGGUAAAUCUGAAAAGUGAAAAAAAUUUUAUAAAGCAAGUUGUGUGAACUUUUCAGAAUGUAUCCACAUUAAAGAAAGAAACUUAGGAGCUGUCUUAGAUUGAAGAAGGUUAGUGAAUGUGACUGGAUCUGGGCUAGGGAAAAAAUGUCAUUAAGAAUGGUAUAUGGGCUGGGGAUGUGGCUCAAUCGGUAGUAGCGCUCUCGCCUGGCAUGCGUGCAGCCCAGGUUCGAUCCUCAGCACCAUAUACAAACAAAGAUGUUGUGUCUGCCGAAAACUAAAAAAUAAAUAUUAAAAUUCUCUCUCUCUCUCUCAAAAAAAAAAAAAAGACUGGUAUAAUUGGAGCCAGGUGUGAUGGCACAUACCUGUAAUCCCAAUGGCUCAGGAGGCUAAGGCAGGAAUCAGAGUUCAAAGCCAGCCUCAGCAAAAAGUGAGGCGCUAAGCAGCUCAGUGAGAUCCCGUCUCUAAAUAAAAUACAAAAUAGGGCUGGAGAUGUGGCUCAGUGGUUGAGUGUCCCUGAGUUCAAUUCCCAGUACUGGGGGGAAAAAAAAGAACAGUAUAAUUGGAGAAAUUUGAUUGUAUAUGUAGUUGUUACAUUAGAUAUUAUUGAAGUUUUAUUAAAUUUUGUGGAUGUGAUAAUGGUUUUGUGAUUAUGUAGGAGAAUUACCUUUUUUUAGACAAUACAUGAACUUGUGAUUUCUUAUCAAUUGGCAGGUAAAGUACUUAUUUUGGUGAUAACAUUUUUUCAGAAUUGACCAGUGGGAACCCUUUUAAGUUAUAUGUCCUUUUGAUAUAUCCUCAUCAUUUUUUGAAGGAUUUCUUACUUUUUGGCCUGAUAGGAUGUUUCAGUCUUAUUGUGUACAUUUCUCACUUUUGGUCUUCAGUCUCUUAUGGUCAGGAACCCAAAGAACCUGGUGUGGUGGUACACACCUGUAAUCCUAUUUACUAGGGAGGCUAAGGCAGGAGAAUUAUAAAUUCAAGGUCAGCCUGUAUAACUUAGUGAGACUGUUUCAAAAUGAAAAAAAUAAUGGGCUAGGAAUAUUGGGUAGUAGAAUGCCCCUGGGUUCAAUCCCCAGUACAGCAAAAAAAAAAAAAAAAAAAAAAAGAUAUCCAAAAGAAAGAAUUCGGACCCACAAAAGCUACUACCCUUAGUAAAUUUGAACUGUUCUCUUUUUUUCAAUCCUUAUAGUUGUUUUGGUCACUCUAAAGAAUUUUAGGUAUUUUGCCGUUUUUCUUUAUAUGGUAUACAUUUUUUGAAUACAUACAUAUUGUACAUGAAGGUUUAAACCAUGAACUAAAAUUUCAAAAUCCAGGAGGAAGAAAGAAAACGUCAAGAGGAAAUGGAACGCCAGCGUCGGGAAAGAAGAUACAUUUUGCCUGAUGAACCAGCCAUCAUUGUGCAUCCAAAUUGGGCUGCAAAAAGUGGCAAGUUUGAUUGUAGCAUCAUGUCUUUGAGUGUCCUUUUGGACUACAGAUUAGAAGAUAAUAAAGAACAUUCAUUUGAGGUAAUGUUUUAUCUUUGAAUCAGGAUCCAGAUAAGGUCCACAUAUUGUGUGUCUCUUAAAUCUCUUUUUCUCCCAGUUGCUAAUUAGGAAAAUCAAUAGUUUAUUCUAUAAAGUUUCAUAUAAAUUACUUUUGUUGAUUUUUUUAAUCCUAUGGUAUAGUAAUACCACUGAAAUAUGCUUGUGUCCUCUGUAUUUUCUAUAAAUUGAUAGUUAGAUCUAAAUUCUUAAUCAAGUUGUGGGCUUUUUUUUUUUUCUUUUAAAAAAGAAAUUUGAACUUUUUGAAGAAUCUGUUGAAAUCCUGAAUAGCUUUAGAACUAUUUAGAUAAGCCCAUGCAUGGUGGUACAUACCUGUAAUCCCAGUAACUCAAGAGGAUUGUAAAUUCAAUGCCAACUUGGGUAAUUUAGCCCUGUCUCAGAAAGAUUAAAAAGGAGAGGACAUGUUGCUCAGUUGCAGAACAGCCCUGGGGUUUGGUCUCCAGUGCUAUAAAUAUUAAAUAAAUAAGUAUAUUUUAGUGUAUAAGUUGAUGAAUAUGUGGUAGCUCUUACCAUGGCUCUCUGCAUAAUAAUAAUAAUGGAUAUUCCAUACUCAGGGUUUUUAAUUGUUUUAAAUGCCUGAAAUGUUCUUCUAGAUAUCUUCAUAAUUCAUUUAUUCAUUGCCUUCUAGUCACUUUUUUGUCGGGUGGAGGGUACUGAAGGUUGAACCCAGGGGUGCUUAACCCACUGAGACACUUCCCCAACCCCUUUUGAAUUUUAUUAGAGACGGGAUCUUGCUGAGUUGCUGAGGCUGGCAUUGAAUUUGCAAUCCUCCUACCACAGCCUCCUAAACUAAUGGGAUUACAGGCCUGUGCCACCAUGCCCAGCUCUCUGGUCACUUUUUAAAUGUCAGAAAGAGACCUUGUCUAACUACUCUUUCUCACUUUCUUUUUAUAAAAUACAUGCUAGGCAAGUGCUUUACCACUGAGUUGCAUCCCAGUCCCUUUAUAUGCUUGUUUUUCUUGUAAUUUGAUAUUAAUUGGGUUAUUUCUUAUACUAGGUUUGUUACCUUUGUGCUGAAAUAAAAUUUUUUUUUUUCUUUUCACUGCUGUAUUCCCAGCCCAUGGUACAUAGUAGGCAUUUGAUUAAAAACUUAUUGACUGGGUCUGUAGUCAUAGCUUAGUAGCAGAGAGCUUACCUAGCAUGUGUGAGGCACUGGGUUUAAUCCUCAGCACUACAUAAAAAUAAAUAAAUUAGCUAAAGGUAUUGUGUCCAUCUACAACUAAAAAAUAUUAAAAAAAAAAAAGUAUUGACCAACCAAUGGAAAUAUAAACAAACCCUUAUAGAAUAAAUAAAGUAUUGUGAAGAUUAAUAGUUUCGUUAGGAGUAUAGAAUUCUUUUUUUCUUUUCAGAUUUUCUAUAGUAGAUUACUUAUUAUAGUAUUUGACUAAAACUGUACUAACCUAAUAUUUUAUAUCUUUGAAACAUUGUUUCAGCAUUUUGAGUCUUUGACAUCAAUUAUUAUAACUAUAUUCUAAAUGUACUUAAUAGAUUCAGCAAAUAUUUAUUAAAAUUACUAACUGCUAGAUUUAAUAUUUCUGUUGCAUUUGUGUUAAUUUUCAUAUCUUUUUAUAGGUUUCAUUGUUUGCAGAACUUUUCAAUGAAAUGCUUCAGAGAGAUUUUGGUGUCAGAAUAUACAAAUCAUUACUCUCUCUUCCUGAGAAAGAGGACAAAAAAGAAAAGGAUAAGAAAAGCAAAAAAGAUGAGAGAAAAGAUAAAAAAGAAGAAAGAGAUGACGAAAAUGAUGAGCCAAAACCCAAACGGAGAAAAUCAGGAGAUGAUAAAGAUAAAAAAGAAGAUAGAGAUGAAAGGAAGGUCUGUAAUUAUUUCCAUAAUUUCUUCUUUUAGAUUGUAACAAAUGAUGUUAUUUCCAUCAGAAUAUUAAAAUAUGAAGCCAAACUUAUACUUUAGAAAAUUUGUCUUUUAAUUAAGCCAAUUCCCCAAACUGCUGAGGGCCUUAAUAAGUUGCUAAAUUGGUCUCCAAUUUGAGAUUCUCCUUCCUCAGCCUCCUGAGUUGCUGGGACUAUAGGCAUGAGCCACCACUCCCAGCUAUUGUUACUCUUAAAUGUAUUACUUUAUGGAUGCUGUGGUUAUGGCUCAGUAGUAGAAUGCUUGCCUGGCAUGUGUGAGGCACCACAUAAAAAUAAUUAAUUAAAUAGAGAUAUGAUGUCCAUUAUACAACUAAAAUAAAAAAGCAUUCCUUUUUUAAGAAAUUUGUAGUUUGAAACUAUUUUAAGUAAAUACCUUUUUUUGGUGAUGCUGGGAUUAAAACCCAGCGCGUUGCACACAUGCUAGGCAAAUGCCCUACCUCAGCUACAUCCCCAGUCCUUUAAAUAAAUAAAUGUAAUGGACUUAAUGUUUUCUUAUUAAAUUUUAAAUUACAGAAAGAAGAUAAAAGGAAAGAUGAUUCUAAAGAUGAUGAUGAAACUGAAGAAGAUAAUAAUCAUGAUGAAUAUGACCCAAUGGAAGCAGAAGAAGCUGAGGAUGAAGAAGAUGGUAUGAUUCAAAUUUUCUUAUUACUGAUUAUGUUUGAAAAAACAUUUGUUUGCUGACUUUGUAUCAGUGAAAUCUAUGAUUUUAAUAUUUUUUAUUAGAAAGUUAAAAUAUUCUCUAAUGAAAAUAUAUUAAGUAAUUGUUGUUUACUAAUUUUUAGGUGAGAAGGCUAUAUUUUGGUGCUUUUGGUUUUUUAUUUUUUAUACUACUGGUAAUUGAACCCAAGGUCUACAAAAGCUCCACAAGUGCUCUAACCAUUGAACUGACAGGGUCUUGCUAAUUUUCACAGACUGGACUUGAACUUGAAAUCCUCCUGCCUCAGCCUCCCAAGUAGCUGGGAUUACAGGUGUACACAUAUGCCCAGCCAGAAUAUAUUCUUCGAAAAAUAAUUUGGUUUAUUUUUAUUUUUUAAGUGAAUACUAUCAUCAUGCAAUGAGUAUAUAUUUAUGGUUUAAAUACUAUUAAUAAUAAUUACCCAUGGUACCUAUUAACCUAUGUCUUAAAAACCAUGUAGGGGCGGGCUAAGGUUGUGGUAGAGCACCUGCAAGAAAGGGUCUUGCGGAGUUGCUUAGGGUCUUUCUAAGUCGCUGAGGCUGGGUUUUCAAUACACCUGCCUCAGCUUUUCAAGUUGCCGGGAUUACAGGCAUGUGCCACCAUGUCUGGCUGACACUCUAAAUACUUUCUAGUUGGGCUGGGGGUGUGGCUCAAGCGGUAGCGCGCUCGCCUGGCAUGCGUGCGGCCCGGGUUCGAUCCUCAGCACCACAUACAAACAAAGAUGUUGUGUCCGCCGAGAAUUAAAAUAAAUAAAUAAAUAUUUUAAAUAAAUAAAUAAAUAAAUACUUUCUAGUAAACAUUCUGAUCAGUAAUAGAUGUUGGCCAUAAAGUAUCUCUGUGUAAUGCCUUACCCAUAUCUCUUUAUGUUGAUGUGACUUGAGAAUUUUGUCUUUUUCUCAUAUCAGAAAACUAAAAACUUUUUUUUUUUAUUAACUGUAUCUAUGGAUGAUACUUCUUAUUAUUAAAGGUUAUUUUGGUUUGCAGCUUUUGGGUUUUUUGGUAGUGGGGAUUUAACCCAGGGGCGCUUUACCACUGGGCUACAUCCUCAGUCCUUUAUUAUAUAUAUGUAUUUUUUAUUAUGAGACAAAGUCUCAAAGUUCCUGAGGACCUUACUGAGUUGCCAGGGCUCACUGUGAACUUGAUAUCCUCCUAUCUCCACCUCCCCAGUUGCUGGGAUUGUGGGCAUGUGCCACCCUGACUGGAUCAUCACAUUUUCUUCUCAUGUCAUUUCAUUUUUCUUAUUGAUGAAAAUAUUCACAUAAAAUGUUGAGGGGGCUGGGAAUAUAGUUCAGUUGGUAGAGUGCUUGCCUCACAUGCACAAGGCUCUGGGUUCAAUCCCCAGCACCAAAAAAAUAAAUAAAAUGUUGAGAGAAUUGUACAGUGAACACCCAUAUGUCUUCCAAUUAGGAUUUAAUAUUCAUUAAUAUUUGACUUAUUUGUUUUGUCUUUUUUCUGAUCCAUUUGAAAGUAUGAAUUCUUCAACUUACUUGGGAGGCUGUGGAAGGAGGAUCACAAGUUUGAGGCUAGCAUUAGCAAGUUAGUCCCUAAAACUUAAUGAAACCUUUUCGCAAAAUAAAAAACAUAAAGGAGAUGUAGCUCCAUUGUAAUGUGCUCCUGGGUUCAGUUCCCAGUACCAAGAAAAAAAAAAGCUUAGGAAAGAAAGGACAUACUUAAUCCCACAAUCAUACCUUUAUUAUGCAAUAAUGCCUUAAUAACACUUAAUACCUGUUUUUUCUUUGCCCUAAUAAUAGCAAUGAGAUGAUACACAUACACCAAUUUUGCUUCAUAUCUCUUCUGUUGUUACAUGGCGCAGUGCAAACUUAGCCCUAUUACAGCCAUAUUUCCUCCCCAUAUUGUUUUUUUUUUUUUUUUUAAAGAGAGAGAGAGAGGGAGAGAGAGAGAAUUUUUUUAGUAUUUAUUCUUUAGAUUUCGGCGGACACAACAUCUUUGUUUGUAUGUGAUGCUGAGGAUCGAACCUGGGCCGCACGCAUGCCAAGCGAGCGCGCUACCGCUUGAGCCACAUCCCCAGCCCCCAUAUUGUUUUUUGUUGUUGUUGUUUGUUUGUUUAUUUUGGGGGGGCAGGGGUUACUAGGGAUUGAACUCAAGGGCACUGGACCACUAAGCCACAUCCCCAGCCCUAUUUUAUAUUUUAUUUAGAGACAGGGUUGCUAAACACGUUGCUUUUGCUGAGACUGGUUUUGAACUAACCAUCUUCCUGUCUCAGCCUCCCAAGCACUGGGAUGUAGGUGUGUGCUACCUCACUCAGCUCCAAGUCCAGUGUUUUUUUUGUUGUUGUUUUGUUUUUUUAAGGUACUGGGGAUUGAACUCGGGGCCACUCAACCACUGAGCCACAUCCCCAGCCUUAUUUUCUAUUUUAUUUAGAAACAGGGUCUCAGUGAGUUGCUUAUUGCUUCACAGUUGCUGAGGCUGGCUUUGAACUUGCGAUUCUCCUAUCUCAGCCUCCCAUGCCACUGGGAUUACAGGUGUGUGCCAUUACGUCUGGCUACAAGUCCAAUUUUUAUCAUACCAAUUUUUAUAAAAUACAUAUUAGUUUCAGAAAAAUUAGAUUUAAUUAAGAGUUAGUCAUAUUUUUUUCUUUUUUUUUUUAAUUGUUAAAUUUUUCCCCCUUACAAUAGCCUCUAAAUUUGUAGGUCCACCCCAUACUGGUCCUAAAAGAUCUCUUGGAUUCUGUAAUGCCUCCUCUAAACACAGCUGUCUGCCUGAGCAGAUUUUUUUUUUUCAAAGCUCUGUUGUCCUCUGGUGGAUGAUUGACGAAUUGCAUUGUCCACUCUUCCACUUUUGGAGAUUUAGUUUCAUCUGAAGCCUGCAAUACCCUUUCACCGUUCCUAUGUUUAAAACUUUUUGUAAAUCCAAUUUGAGGGUCCCACUUAACGCUUUGAGAGUCUAUCUACUGCUGAAGAUUUUGUCCAGUUCAUGAUUUCAAACUGACUCCACCCCAUCUCCUUGUGGACAAAUUUGAUCUCGUUCUCUGGAGUCAUUAACUUGAAAUUGAAUGCUGUAGUAAAUUCUGCUGCAACCAAUGUCCAGCCUUCAACAGUGCAACACUUAUUAAAGGAAGUCUCAUAAUUCUCGUUGUUUUGUGUAAACAUAGAUAACGCCACUCCAUCCUCUGGAGUUCCUAGUGCUUUUACAGCACUCAGAUUGGAUCCUGAAGAGAAGGUAUUUUUUGGGGAUGUGGCUCAAGGGGUAGCGUGCUCGCCUGGCAUGUGUGCGGCCCAGGUUCGAUCCUCAGCACCACAUACAAACAGAGAAGGUAUUUUUUGUCCCACAGAUAAUGAGGCUUUUCCCUUCCAUCCAGUUUUCCAACUCACUUGCAAAUAUUGUAGCAUCAUAAAUCUCAAAAGGCAUUAAUUUCAGUGGUAUUGUUCAGAGUAACAAUGCCAAGUCCAUUUUCUUCCUUUUGCAGAUCCAACAUAUCUACCAGGAAACCACUAAAGCAUCACUUCUUCAUGAAAGCCAUGAGAUGUAAUAAAGUGAUACUGCCCCUCAGUGUAGUAGUUUUGUCCUUACAGAGAUGAUGGCUUCAAAAGACUUAUUAUUUUUAAGUUGGAACAAGGCUUUAAAGGUUUUCAGAAAUCAAAUAAGUGCUUUGAAGUUAGGCCUUUUUAUACUUUAAAAAAAUGUUAAAUGUGGUAUUUCUCCACCUUCCCUGAAAAGUUUUUCAGCACCCUCCUGUACCUCUGUAUAAACCACUCCUUUCCCAUUCCCAGGAGGGUACAUUGGGCUUCAGCUGCCAUCUAGCUGGGAAGCCUGGAGGCUCUCUGUGUGAGGGUCACUGGGAAAGGUGCUAACAUCCAUUCCACAACCACCUUCUGGGAUUCUCUUCCUUAUGACGCUUUUAAAAGUUAUGACCAGCUCUUAAAUAGAGCCCUGGAGGUCUCUGGGGUGACUUCCCUUUCUGCUUUCCUCGAUCAUCUUAAUUAAAAACAUCUCAGUUUCUCAUGUAGUUUUUCCUUUUGGGUUCUAGAAAAUAUACUUCACCUUGUUUGCUCAAGUUUGUGUUAUGUUUUUCAAUUUUAUCUAUAGAGUUAAUUUUAUCUUUUGAAAUAUAUCCUUCAGAUAUUUGUAAAAUUAAGGCCAUUUAAUUGAUUUAAUAAAGUCAGUUUGGUGCUGAUAGUGACAAGAAUGCUUGCCUGUCAUAUGCAAGGCCCUCAGCAUUGCAAAAAGAAAUAAUGAAAUCAAUUUGUCCCUCUAGUUUUUCUCCCAUCCCCAGUAGUGGGGAUUGAAUUCAGGGGUCUCUACAAGUAAACUACAUCCUCAGCCCUUUUUCUUGUUUGGAGAAAGGGUCUCACUAAAUCAUCUAUGCUACCCUCAACUUUAUAAUCCUCUUGUCUCAGUUUUCCAAGUGAGAUUACAUUCAUGUACCAUUGUGCCUGAUCACCCGAUAUAUUCUUCCUCUUAUUUUUUGUAAUUUUUUUUUCACAUCUACACUAUUUUUAUUUAUAUAUUUAUUUGAUUAAUUUGAAAAUUUGUUCUGUAGUGGAGGAAUAGUAUUUUUUUUGUUUGUUUGUUUGUUUUCUGUGGUGCUGGGGAUUGAACCCAGGGCCUUGUACAUGCAAGGCAAGCACUUUACCAACUGAGCUAUAUCCCCAGCCCAUGGAGAAAUAGUUUGUUUCUACAGUAGUUAAAAAUAUCUCUGUUAAUGAGUUUUUGCUGCUCUUACAUUUAUUUUUAUAGAUCGGGAUGAGGAAGAAAUGAACAAACGGGAUGACAAAAGAGAGAUCAACAGAUACUGCAAGGAAAGGCCUUCUAAAGAUAAGGUAUUUAUUGAAUAUUGUAUUCUUUAUAAUGUGAUGAUUUGUAUAUUUUACAUAAUUAAAUUUGAUUUUAAAAUAUAUCACAGUCAUGAAGUUUAUUAGUCUUCAUAUGCCUACAUACAACCACUUAGCAAAAUGCAGUUGAUGGGUUUUUGGUAUUUGGGACUGUCAUAUAACCAUUUUGUUUGAUUUUCUUUCUCUCAUAUUCAUAUAACAAAUGAACUUAUUUUAUUAGGAUGAAAUAAUGAUCUUUUAAGAUUGUUGCUAUUAUACUGACAUAAUUUCUUGUUUUUCAAUUGGAAAAAAGUAUAUACUAUCUUUUAUUUCUGUAUUUUUUUUAGGAAAAAGAAAAAACUCAGAUGAUCACAAUUAACAGGGAUCUAUUAAUGGCCUUUGUUUAUUUUGAUCAAAGCCAUUGUGGUUACCUUCUUGAAAAGGAUUUGGAAGAGAUACUCUAUACUCUUGGAUUACAUCUUUCUCGGGCUCAGGUAAUCUAUUCUGUGAAUUUAAAAUAAAAACCGUUUUUAUUACCAUUUUUUUUUUCUCCCUGUGCUGGGGAUAGAACCCAGGACUUGCUAAUGCAAGUGCUUUAGCACUGAAACUGCCUCUCCUGUAACUUUUCAAGAAGUUACUUUUUUUUGGUACCAGGGAUUGAACCCAGGGGUGCUUAACCAGUAAGUCACACCCCCAGCCUCCAGCCCUUUUUAUUUUUAUAUUGAGAUAGGGUCUCACUAAGUUGUUUAAGGCCUCACUAAGUUGCUGAGGUUGGCACUAAAUGGCCUCAGCCUCUUCAGUGAAUGGGAUUACAGGUGUGUAUCACCACGUUUGGCUAAGAAGUUACUUUUCAAAGAAAAUAUAAAUAGAAUAAGUUAAUGUAUUCAAUUCCAUAGGUAGGUGCUCAUUUUUUUUUACAUCUCUAUUGACUUUUUCAUUUAAAAGAAACAUAAUAGAUAUAAAUUGUAAGAGUCAAGCAAUACUGAAAUUUAUAAAGUAAAAAGGUUAAAAGCCCCUCUUUGCUCUUCUACUCCUCAGGUCCAGCACAUAACCUUCUAGAUUUUUUUGUAAUCAACUGUUUCAUUUUUAUAAACAUAAUAUGAAAUUAUGUUAUACAUAUUGAUGGAACUCUUUUAAAAUUUUCUAAUAUAUCCUGGACAUUUGUACCAUGAAAAUUCAGAUCUCAUUCUCAUAGCUGCAUAGUAUUCCAUUAUAUAGAUGUAUCAUUUAUGUAACUACUCCCUUAUUGCUUAUGGUUUUCAUAUUUUGGAAUUAUAAACUUAUGCUGUAAUAGACACCCCUUGUUACAUUUAUUUUAAUAUAUAUGUUAGUGUUUCUAAUAGUGUUACAAUUUUUUUUUUAAAUACUACGUUUUUUUAAAAGAAUAUUUUUAAAAUUUUUUGUUCAAUUUAAAACAUAUUUAUAUUUAUGUAUUUGACUUUGGGAGGAAAAAUUAAGUAGGGUUCACAAAAUUUUGAAGUAAAUUUGGAGAUUUUAGCAAGUGAUAAAAUAUCUACAAAAGUGUCCUGUGUCACAGUAUAUAUCUAAUAGCUCCAUAAAACAAAAACUUACAUUUCAGGCCAGGAAUUUUUAGGUUUCACCUCUUGCCAAUGUUUUUUCCCCCUCUAACUGGUGUAGUGUUACAAUUUUUAACAAUUAAAUUUAUUUUUCAAAUAUAACUUGGAUGUGAUUGAGUAGGAAUGGAUACCUGAGAAAGCAGUUUCCACAGAUGUUCUUCAUUUCUAAAAAUUAGAACACAGUUGUUCAAGGAAAAUCAAAACACAUUUUCAUCUUUUUAAUGUGUUUACUUGCUUAUAUUAUAGGUAAAGAAGCUUCUUAAUAAAGUAGUUCUCCGUGAAUCUUGCUUUUAUCGGAAAUUAACAGACACUUCAAAAGAUGAAGAAAACCAUGAAGAGUCUGAAUCAUUGCAGGAAGAUAUGUUAGGUUUGAGUAUAUUGAAAUCUUGCGUUUUUAUAAAUAUUCAUUAGUUUAAAAAAAAAAAUCUUACUAAAGUGUAUUGUCUUUUAUUAUAGGAAAUAGGUUGUUACUGCCAACACCAACAGUAAAGCAGGAAUCAAAGGAUGUGGAAGAAAAUGUAGGACUCAUUGUGUACAAUGGUGCAAUGGUUGAUGUAGGAAGCCUUUUGCAAAAAUUGGAAAAGAGUGAAAAAGUAAGGGCUGAAGUAGAACAGAAGCUGCAGUUACUAGAAGAAAAAACAGGUGAGGGACAAUAUGAAUAUGUUAGUACUUUUAAAGCUCUGUUUGUGUGUGUGUGCACGCACACACAUACCUCACAUUUUGCUUUGGACAGUGUAUAACUCUACUUUCAUCUGUUUCUAUUGGAGACAAUAAAAUCACUUAGUUUUGUAAGAAUUUUUCUUGUUCAAUGGGGUGUAGUGGGGCAUGCCUAUAACUAGAGAGGCCACUGUAGGAGGAUCACAAAUUUGAAGGCAGCUUAACAAGACCCUGUCUCAAAAGUAAAAAGGGCUGGGGAGGUAUCUUGGUGGAUAUUAGUUGUUCAUUCUCAGGUUCACUUGAUAUUCUGUUCUAUCCUUUCAGACCUCUGCUAGUUCCACUUACUUUUUAUUGGUUCCUAUUUUUGCUAGUUUGUUGCAGUCAUCUAAAAAUUGAAACUGGGUUUAGAAAUACUAGUAACUAAAACUUAAUUUCAAUAAAAACAGUAUUGCAUUGUGCUUUAGGUAACUAAUGAAGUUGGUAUUUAUGGGCAUUUUAAAGAAUUGCAUCUGCUUUUUAUUUUCAUAGCUUAAGUAUUUUUAACCUCAAGCUAUACUGGAAAUUAUAGGGGUUCAAGAGGUUUGUUUUGGACUUUUUUUUUUUAAUAGAUGAAGAUGAAAAAACCAUAUUAAAUUUGGAGAAUUCCAACAAAAGCCUCUCUGGUGAACUCAAAGAAGUUAAAAAGGACCUUAGUCAAUUACAGGAAAACUUAAAGGUUUCAGAAAACAUGAAUUUGCAAUUUGAAAACCAACUGAAUAAGACAAUCAGAAACUUGUCUACAGUAAUGGAUGAAAUCCACACUGUUCUCAGAAAGGUUUGAAAUUUUAUACUUUCAACAUUUUCAGAGUUUAUUUAAAUUUUAAAAACUAUUCAUAGCAUUUUUAAUGUACUUUAAUGUUAUUUUGCUCUUUGUAAAAGCUUUUCCUAGAAGCAAAUGAUAGCAUUCCAUCUUCUUGAAACUAGUCAAAAGUAAUUCCCCAAAGAUUAUAUUUUUCUAAAAUUUAAUGAUGAAUGUCAGUAUGGUUUAUGUGUACAGAUUUUUUUUGAGGUUGACCCCAAAUUUAUUUUUUUAUUCACACAGAUUUCAGAUAUGUUAUUGUAUUUAAUCAUCACAGUAUCCCUAUUAGUUAAGCAUUGUUUUAUUUUUUUUAAAUACACGACAGCAGAAUGCAUUUACAAUUCUUAUUACACAUAUAGAGCACAAUUUUUCAUAUCUUUGUAUAUAAAAUAUGUUCACACCUGUGUGUACAGAUUGUCUGAAGCAAAUGUUGAACUGGAGAUGUGGCUCAGUGAUAGAGUGUAUGCCUAGCAUUAUGUGAGGCCCUGUGAUUAGUCCCUAGCACCACAAAAUUUAUUUGUAUUUCUUUCUAAACCAAAGAGUAUUUUUGAAGUAAGAUAUGAAAUCAUUUGGUUCUUUUAAACCAUUUAUUGUGAGGCAGAAUUUAAGAAAAUUCUUUGGCAUCAGAUAUUAAUCGCUAUAAAAAUUUUAUAAUUGAAUUACAUUAUAAAAUACCUUCAAAUAACAUGUAAGAAAAUCUAAUAAAAUAUACCUUUUCCUUAUCUAUUAUUUUACAGGAUAAUGUAAAGAAUGAAGACAAAGAUCAGAAAUCUAAGGAGAAUGGUGCAAAUGUAUGAUAAAAUUUGUGUCGUGAUGAAAAAUGCUGUUAAAUAAUGUAAUAUAUAAAAAUCAUGAUACAAGAAUGUUUGAAGGUGAUGCAUGUUUUAGUAGUAUAAAUUCUGUUAGUUCAAAUGGUGUAUAAAGUUUUAUGAAUGUUGAGUCUGCUUUUGAAAAUUGCUUGUAAUUUCUAGCAUUCAAAUUAUUAAACACUCCUUGAGUGAAAUAAUUUUGCAUUGCAAAAUGUUUUAGGAUGAACUUUGUUAUAGUUUUAACCCCAAUAAAGUUCAUCAAUUUACUUGACAGUAGUAUUUAAUUACCAAAUGUCUUUUAUUAAAAUGCCUAAAUUUUUUUUUGUUUUUUAUGCAUAAAAGUUUUUUAUUUUAUUUAUAGAAUUAUCAUUAUUUACCUUUUAAUUUUGUAGUCCAUCUUUUAAAACUUCACUAUAAAUCAUAAAAUAGCAAGCUGCUUACUUUUUGGACCAGAAAUAUUUUUACUCUUCACCAAAAAUCCCCUCUAGUUAUCAAUAUCUAAAAACAUUGUUAAAAAUUCAGUUCACCCAAAAGACAGUUCAUUAAGAACUAAGAAAGCAGUAGACAACUGGUGUUGGUAUUUUGUUUGUUAGGCUUUACGUAAAAUUCAUAGACCUGAUGUUAAUGUUAACUGUUAACUGCUUUCAAUUAAUUGUUCUACUUUCCCAGAGUAGCACUUCUAUUACUUUUAAUUAUGAGGGUUUCUUUUUAAAAAAUUCAGUGUAUGUCAAAUGUACAGUUUAGUACCAAACCAAUAGAUGUCAGUAUGAUGCCUUAAGUUAAAUUUUUAAUUAAAAAUAAUUUUUUUUUCUUAGUCUGUGUAUGUACUUAAGAGUUUCAGAGGUGUUUAAGAGUUCAUGUAACUGUUGAGUGAAAAAAAGAAGGAAAUGUGAUGUACUCUGCAACAGUGGUUUUCAACAGGAUGUGAAUUUAUCCUUCAGAGGGCAUUUGGCAAUGUUUGGAGAUCUUUUUAAGCAAUUGGGUGGGGGGCUACUUGCAUCUAUUUGUUAGAGACUAAGAAUGCUGUAUAGGACAGUCCCCCACAAUGAGGAAUUAUUCAGUCCAAAAUGCCAGUAGUGCCCAAUUUGAAAAAUCCUGCACUUAAGGAAUAUAAGGUUAAACAACAUUUUGUCUUUAUAAAAUUAUACUUAGGGAAAACUUAGCUGAAUCUGUAGAUGAUUAUUUUUUUAUACUUACAAAACUCGAAGUGGAAUGUUUUGCUCUCAUAAAAAUAUAUGUUAUAUUAGAGUUUAUUUCAUUUUGUUUUACUCUUUCAUUUUGAUAGAAUAAUGGCCAGAUAUUCUAAAUAGGUGAAUAUGAGACUUAAUAUGUGACUUAAGUCAAAUGGAAUCCAUAUGGCUCUUACUGAGGUAUGGAUUAAAACUCUUCAAAUUCUUCAAACCACUUUUUGUCUUAAAUUGAUAUUUCUUCUCUUCAGGUCUAGUUGAACCUCUCCAAAGUCACUUUACUUCUUGAGCCAUAAUUAUAUCAUUAAUAUGUAAAUGUUUCUUCAUCGUUGAGAUGAGAUGAAACUGUAUAGGUUUUUUAGUUUGUUUUUUGGUACUAUAGGGAUUUAAACCAGGGUCGGAUUUUAUUUUCUUCUUGAGACAGGAUCUUGCUAGGUUUGCCCAGACUAGCCUCAAAACAUGGAAUCCUCCUGCCUCAGCCUCCCAAGUAGCUGGAAUUACAGGUGUGUGCCUCCAUGCCCAAUAAAUUAUAUGGAGUUUUUUAAAGCAAGCACUUUACCUCAGAGUUAUAUCCCCAGCUCUAUUUUAUUUUGAGACAGGGUCUUAAUACGUUUCCCAGGCUAGCCUUGAACUUAUAGUCCUCAUGCCUCUCCCUCCCAAAUUGCUAGGAUUAUGAGUUGAUAUUGUAGCUUGCCUACCCUGUGAGAAACUCUGGGUUCAACCCCUAGUACUGCAAUAAGAAAAAUGUGGUUUACCAAUCGGCUGAGAUUGCCAUAUGCCACUGCAGCUGAUAGGAAACUUUUAACUAAAAGAUAGUAAUGAUAGAUUUCCUGCAAAAGUAUAUUUUUAAAUGAAAGAUCAGGGCUGGGACAUGGCUUAGUGGUAGGUCACUUGGCUAGCUUACAUGAUGCCCUCAUUUAAAUCUCUAAUAAGAGAGAGAUCAUACAAAGGCCAACUAACAGCUUUUAUUUUUGUACAAUAAAUUUUAAAUAAGCAUAAGGUGGAUAUGAUGGAGGAAGAAUCUAAACCUUCCAAUUUUAUUUUUACUUACAGAUAUAAUUUCUUUUUUAAAAUGUAAUUUUUUAAGACACUAGGGAUUUAAUCCAGGAGUGCCCUACCACUGAGCUACAUCCCUAGCGCAUUUGUAUUUUUCUUUUGAGACAGGAUCUCACUAAAAUUUGACCAGACUGCCAAUUAAGUUUCUUGUAAAUGAGUGUCAUCCCCUGGAGUAACAAAGGGGUAGUCCUAGCAGAAGAGGUAAUUUGUGCUUCUCUUUCUCAAUGAAAUUGAUGAUGAACUGUCACAAGGAACAGUAAAUUACUUGGUAGAAAUAAUUCCGACAUCUCUUUUGUUGUUAAAUUAAAAUUUAAUUUCAUGAUUUGGUGCCAGACUGUUUGGAUAAGCAAAGUGUAGGCCAUGAUGUUUUGAAAAUAUUCAGUGAAGCCAUUAAAUAAAAAUUGAAAAUAACCCAAAGAGUUAAUGUUAUGGGAUAUGUAUCUUUCAGAAUAUUUGGAAUACAUUCUAUAAAAAAUUUGGAGAAAUGGAUAAGGGAAAAGAACUUAGUGUAGACUCAGUUAAAUGAUACUUAAAUCGCUUAUUGGAAUUGAAAAUAUCAGGUGGUUUUGGUAAUAAUCUAAUAAAACAUCUGAUUUUGGAUGACUCCAAUUUUUAUAGGUUUUUUCCUUUCUUUUUUGACACUAGUGAUUGAAUCCAAGUGUACGUAAUAUCUGGGCCACAUCCCUAGCUAGACCUUUUUUAGUUUUUAUUUUGAGACUAAGUUGCUGAUAACUAAUCUCAAACUCGCACUCCUUCUGUCUUAGCCUCCUGAGUCACCAGGAUUACAGGUAUGCACCAGCAGUUUUUUGGGUUUAUAGUUUGUUUUUUACAUAAUUGACCUCAACAGUUAAAAUUGUGUUCCAAAAUUGAAUUCCAAAAGUUGUGUCAAAAAUAAACAGAACUUUAU
RNAcentral lists this long non-coding RNA (53527 nucleotides) under Marmota monax (woodchuck). The stretch from base 30125 to 30189 matches the Rfam family "Small nucleolar RNA SNORD98". The record is from RNAcentral. Lineage: Eukaryota; Metazoa; Chordata; Mammalia; Rodentia; Sciuridae.